UUACUUGUCCUUUAUACUAAAAUGUUCACUUUCACUUGUUGUUUUUAUCCUAUCAAAAGAAAACAUAUUUCUUUUACAUGUUUAUCGUUAACAUUAAUUACUUAUUCACAAAAAUAUUAUAAUAAAAUACAUAUAUUAAUAUUUUUUAAGAGAUAUGUAAAAUUCAAAAUAGAUAGUAAGAAAUAAUGUGCAAAGGGAGUAUUUAAAAACAUUACAAUAAAAAUAAUAAUCUGAAUCUCAAAUUAAAAAAAAUAUCAAAUAAAUUAGUAUAUACGGAGAAAUAUUAGAGAGGAAACUCCUUUUAACUAGUAUAAUCCCAAAUUAAAUUUGCUACACGUAUAACAUUAGUAGAUGUAGAAAGAAUCUAAUUGUAAAUAACAGAGGGAUGUGUUAUAUAUGAGAACUUGGACGAAUCUAGGUAGAAGGUUCCGAAUAUCCUUGUAAAAUAAUAAAUAAUAAAAUUUCUUUGACAAGAAUUGAAACUUUCAGCUCUACUUCUUGCUAAUUAUUAAAGUUAUUGAUCUUUUUCUUUAGGCAUUUUUUUCUUUGAAUUUGAUCCUGUCUCCGCCAUCUGCAAGUAAAGCCAACCAAUUUGGAAAUAUAAUAGUAUAUAUAUUUUUUUUCAAUUUAUUUGUCUCUCUUUUUUAAAUUAGUAAAGAAAAACUUUUCUUUUGAUAACUUUUUAGUUUUGAUUUUCUAGAUAACAAAUUAUUUCAAAUUAUAAGAUUAAAAAAUAUUUUGAUAAAUUUCAUAUUCGUUACUUUUUUGAAUUUUGUAAUAAGACAAAUAAAUUGAAACGGGGAGAGUUAAUGAGCGAGGAAAGUGGAAAUGCAUGCAUAAGCAAAGGAGGGAAUGAACGGUUGGGAAUAAUAUGGAGAAUGGAGCCAAAUGGUGUCUGUCGUUGCAAAAAUAUCUUAUCCUGCAUUGCACUGCACUGCACCAAAAGACUGAAAAGAGACACCUCCUCCCUAUAUUUUGUUUUAACAGUUUUCUGCUCCCACCAAAAGCAAUCAUCUUAAAAAACACGCACGUCAUCCCCUCUACAUAUAUAUUUAAUAUUAUCACACUAAAAACAAUAAUUCUAUGUACUAGUACUUAUUACAACAUUGAAAGAGUACCGUUGAAAAUUUCUCAUUAAAAAGAGAAUAAACAACGGUGAUCUAUCACAUUUUAGUGGGGCAUAGAAUGUGAUCAUACUUUCUUUUUUUCAUUUCCUCCAAUAACAUAUUGAAGUUCGACUACAUUUAGAUGGCAGGUUGCAAGACCUAGAACACAAAACUUUCAAUAAGAUUCUUUUCAUAUUCAAAACUCCGACCUGAGAGAACCUGACAAAUGGUUGCCUUAAGUUAUUUUAUAUGCAAUUCCAUGAACAUGCACUUGGCAUGAAUAGCUUUUGUUGUUCCUUUUAUUUUCUUUCUUCUUAUACACGCGCACUAUCUGUAAUAAAGUUAAAAGUAAAGCAACGGACGAGAAAGAAAACAGAAUGCACCAAAGUAUUGUAGUAUUUAUACUCCAUAUUUUAAAUACAAAUAAUAUAUCUAUCUAUACUAUAUUAUAAACAUGAAUAUCCGUUGUUUGAACCUUCAUUAAAAGACUUCGUUUUAGAUAAAAUUAUCUUUUUACAAGGUGCACUAGAUUUUUUUUAUAUACAUUUCUCGACAAACAAAUAAAAUGAUUCUAAUAUAUUUUUAACGUUAUUUACAACUUACUGUAAUAAGUGUAAGUUGUAUAUUUCCGUUGAGAUUCCUGGAGGAACACCAGUUUGGCUAAAGUAUUUGAGGUUAAAAAUGAAUUGAAGUUGGGGAAUAAAAUAUAUAGCACGUGAACAACGUCCGACACAUCAUCUUCUUCAUACCAUAAUCACGUGCUCUUUUAUCAUACUACCUCACGUAAAUGUCUUCUAAAAUAUUUUCAUCGAAAAUUACGACAUCUCGGUAACCACAGUGUCCAUAUGAAACGCAAAAAAUAUUUGUUGCCUACCAUCGACACUAGUUGUGUGAAACUUUUCUAUCUCACAAUUUGGUGAACACAACAUUAUAAGGUUUGGGUUGACCAAUUUGUGAGACGGCACACUACUAGGGUUAGUAGUAAGAAACACAACGUAAUUUUACUCUCUACAGGCAAUCAUUUGAAUUAUUUUUCUCAACUUCCUGUUCUCUGAGUAGGCAGCACAUAGAAGCCCAUCUCUUGGGACCAACCAUCUAAACAUUGUUCAAGGUUUGAAAAGGUACUCAGAUGUCAGUAUGGUAUUUUGUGAGGAAGAUUCUCAACAACAACAUAAACUUUGGAACCCAUUUUUGCACCAUAGUUUCCAUCCAUCACCAAAACAAACAGCUAUACUAAGAGGAACUGAUUUGCAACAACAAUUAUUACAAUAAAUGGCAAUUGUAAGGAGAGAGCACUGGAAAAUGAACAAAACUUCAAUCUCUUUAGAACUAUAAAUGGAUCAUCCAGAUCCAAAUUGGGCAAGUCCUAUCAUGGUUUCAUAUAACUUUUCCAUGAAGACCCCAUUGGUACGAAAGGAGUAAUUGCGGUGACAUAGCCACUUGAGUCUAUGACCAUGGACGUUUACUUUACAGAUACUCAGCUUGCCAUACCAGAAAUCUAGUUCAAGAUAAUGCUCUAUUUCAUUCACAGAUUGGUACGAAAUAGAGCCAUCUUAACAAUCAAAAUACAAGGGAAAGUACAAAUAAGAGCAUUCACCAACACCCUUUAUUUUGUGGAUUACUUUAUAAGAAAUUUCAGCUUAUAUUUGACGAAAAAACUCAGCGAUAGAGACUUUCAGAUCUCAGAUUCUCUGCAAUCUCAGUUUCCCAUCGAUCUCCAUUCUCAAGAAGUUUCUCCUUGUCGUAAAGGAGUUCCUGAUGCAUGCAAUUUAUAUUAGUCAAGGUAUGUAACAGUAGAAGUUCAUUUAUUUCAAAUUUUUUGCUAAUAUAAUUAUUACAACGGACCUCAUGAGUUUCAGUUGCAAACUCAAAGUUGGGCCCCUCAACAAUGGCAUCAACAGGGCAGGCUUCUUGGCAGAAUCCACAGUAGAUGCACUUUGUCAUAUCGAUAUCAUACCUGUAAUCGUUGAUAUAGACAUGAGCAUGGAUGUCCAAGUAUCUAAUGGGACAUCAGCUAACUGAUAAAAGUGUACCUAGUUGUUCGACGACUGCCAUCUUCUCGCUCUUCGGCCUCGAUUGUGAUAGCUUGAGCAGGGCAAAUCUGUUAAAAAUCCCAAUUCAUUUGCAUCAGUAACAUAGGUAAUCAUAUACUUCAACAUGUAGAAUGCUAGCAAUAUCACCCACACAAGUCUUAAAAUAAGUAGAGCACUAUAGCAGUAUAUAUUCCCUAAUAUCUCUUUUGUAAAAAAAAACACAAAGAAGAUAUAUAUAAUCCACCCUAAGAAAAGCUUCUUUUUAGGUUGAACUGCUAAAAAACAGUGCCAAUUGGGGGUGGCACAACAGUUUUAUCACGUUUAGUUCACUUAAUCUUAGUUUUCAAAUAGACAAACUGAUUAUGAGAUUAUUUACACAGUUCAAAACAUUAUUGUGCUUCCAUAAAGAAUAUAUUGUUGUACAGAUUUCCCCAUUACGCAUAUAUUGUCAACUUGAGCUUAAUCAACAUACUACCCAAGAUCAGGACCCUUGAUCUAGAAAAGAGGGAGUUCAGUCAAGCAGUUUCUGUGAUCUUACAGUUUAUUAUCUAAAGCACAUAUUUCACUACUAUUCUUCCUAUUUUAAUUAUAAAGAAACUGAGAAUAUAUUUGUGAAUAGCAGAAGCAAAUCAACGUGCCUGCCUCUGUACUUCUAUAUAUAUAUAUAUUCUCAUGGUAUCAGAUAGCCAGAAAUCCAUCUAAUUUCUUCUCUACGACAUGGCGUCUUCAUCUUCCACUACACCAGUCGUUCCUUCUAGCGUCAUUACUAUUCCAGGUUCAAGUGUUCCUUCUAGCGUUACUGCUAUUCCAGGUUUAAGUUUUCCUUCUAGCGUCAGUACUAUUGCAGGUUCAAGUUUUCCUUUCUUUGGUCUGCCUCCUCCCGUUAGCAUAGAUUCUCAGACUCUACCAAAUUUCAAUUCUGUUGCUGCUCUUGCUACCCCUAAUGUCACCAAUUUAGUGACCAUUAAGUUAGGUUCUGUGGAGGACUACCUCACAUGGCGCACUCAGUUCACCUCUCUACUACUUUCCCACGAGCUUAUGGGGUUCGUUGAUGGCUCAAUUCCUCACCCUUCUCCUCUUCUUGGUGAUGCAUCUGGCAAUCACCAACCAAAUCCUCUCUAUCGCUCUUGGAUAAAAAUUGAUCAAAGUGUCCGUUCUUGGUUAUUCGCAACACUAUCUCGUGACGUUCUUCUUGAUGUUCAUCUCCUUCCUACAUCUAGAGAUAUAUGGUUAUCCUUACAUCGACGCUAUAUGGAUGCGAGUCCGGCUAAAUCUAUUGAGUUGAAACGCCAACUCACUACCCUGCGAAAGGAUGAUAAUAUGAGUAUUGAUCAGUACCUUCGCAUUGCCAAACAAAUAGCUGAUUCUCUUGCAGCAAUUAAUUCACCCGUCCCUUCUCAGGAUUUCAUUGAUCAUGUUUUACUUGGCCUUGGAAAAGAGUAUGACACCUUGGUUGGCAUCAUUACACAUUUUCCUGGUCACUUAUCGCUUGAAGAGCUUCGUACCAAACUUUUACUUCAUGAGCAAAGGUUGCAGCGUUUCAAGGAACUUGACUCGCCAAUUACGCAUCAAGCAUUUGCUGCGCAUUCUGUUUCUACAACUACUCAAGACUCUGACUCUCAGUUUGGUUCUGGUCGUGGCCGAGGUUGAUCUUCUUCCAGAAGUCGUGGCCGUGGUGGCAAAGGUCGUGGCUUUGGUGGUCGUGGGCAGCAACCACAAACUUCGUUUGUUUCCAUCCAUGAAAGAAUGGAAGUAGUUAGUAGCUAACCCAGAAUGCAAGAAGUCACACACCUCAAUGAAGCAGUAGAAGACCAACACUAACAUCAUAAUAACCCAAAUCUCAACAAACAGAGAACAACGACAGACACAGGUCCGAAUUAGUAGUGUGUAAACAUAAAUUGCAGUACAAUCAUAGUAGGUCAGCACUUACAGCUUCACAAAGUUUACAUGCAAUGCAUCUUUCCUCUCCUGUGGCAUAACGUCGCAGGGCGUGUUCUCCACGGAAACGAGGGCUUAAAGGCCCCUUUUCAAAAGGAUAGUUUAUCUGCAAUAUAACGGUAUUUGAUUUGCUACUCAAAAAGGUAAAGUCUGAGAGGUUAGCAUAUCAAAUGCUACCACCGAAGAUGAGUUGAAGACUGUCCAAUUGGCAAUCGAACAAAAACUUUUAAAGGUAAAAAGCUAGUGGAAGCAUGAGAGACUUACAGUCACUUUCUUUUCAAAGAAGUACUUGAGCGUCAACAUCAGACCUCGAACCAUUUCAGUCAAAAAGAGUGUGUUUAUGCUUCGCUCAAAGACUGCAUUUAGUCAAAAAAAUCAGAAACAGGAAAUGCCAAAGGCAUCGCUAGGGGAAUUUAAAUGCUACACAGAGUCAGAAUUCUUUAAAAGGAUUUACCUGAAUUCCAAUCUUUUGAUAGUUCCUUUGCUAGCUGCUCUCUUUCUUCAUCAUCUGACAUGAAAGAAAAAGCAAUGGACCAUGGAAGUAAGUUAUACUGAGGAACCCCAAAAUAAGGCACUAAAAGACCCAGGCGACUGAUAACAAAGCAAUGACUUUCAGUUGAGUAGUACUAACUACUUUCUAUUAUGAACUUUGAGUUGAGGAGUACUAACUACUUCGUCAUCGGAGUAAAUUAUUGCUCCGAAUCAUUUAGAACCUCCUAUUAAGACCCUCAAGAAUUGGUUUUCAUAUACCCCAGCGUUUACUGAAAAAAAACCAACAUACUCAUGGUGCAGUGCCAAUCUAGAAUAAUAAUGUGCAACAGAAAAAAUGGGGCAAUCUGCCAUUAAAUAGAAUCCUAUGCACGCAUGCGACUGAUUUCCUCACUCAAAGUGCAUUCAGUGCUUGAAUAUUUGGAAAGACGAUUUUAUGUUUCAUCUUAUCUCUGUUGAAGGUUAUAUAUUUUUAGCAAAGUCUACAUCUUUACACAUGCAGCAAAUGAUGUUACCUUCUCCAAUAUGCAUCGGGUUCCAACAUGUUGGACAAGUAUUCUGAUAGCCUAGCCUUCUAAAUCCAUUUAGAAUUGCAAAUGGAUUUCCCAACAGGUGAUUAGACGGCAUAAUAGACAGGUGUUUCUACUUGCAAGAAUUUGCACGGUCCCAUUCAGAAUAACUAUGUACCAUGUUACGAGCUAUUUUGGUUGUAAUAUUAUCUUAGCCACAAUAGAAAUUGGAUUGCGGACAUUAAUACUAUAGACAUGAGCAAAACAAGAAUAUCAUGCGCAAGAUGAUGCUUGACCUACUUUUCUCUCAAAAUCUUCCAUGGAAAGUAAUACUCAUUUCAAAUAUCAGAAAAGGUUCUAGUGGUCUUAUAAUCUAAUUAUUUAACCCGAAAAAAAUAAAAUAUAUGACUGAGGUCCCCAACAAAUUCUAAACAUCCCAUAUUUCCUACUCCUCCCUUGGUAAUUGUGCUCAUCUAAGUGAGCAACCCAGUAGGAAGGGAAGGUACUACGUACCACACUGUGUAACAUUUACAUCCCCACUAAAGCUCAAAAGUUAUUCCAGUGAGCUACAAUCUUUUCUCUACAGCUACAUCAUCCACAUACAUGCUUCACAUGCUAAGAGACUCACGGCAAAGGGUGGUGGAUUUGGGUAGGGGGGCUGGAGAGCGCAAUACAAACCUUUGUCGGUUGAAAACGAAUGCUUGGUAGCAAAUGAUCGAGUACCAAGUAGAGUUCCAUUAGGUGUAUUAGUCCCUUGCCAUGCUUGUCCAGCCAAAACCUACAGUUCCCACAGAAAGAAAAAAGUGUCAAACCAUUCUAUUAAGCCAUAAGAUAUGGAAUGCACAUAUACAUACACAUACAUAUACAAGGAACCAUACUGACCAAGAACCUACAACAUAGUAAAGUAACAGCAGACUCUCGCAUCUCCGGAUAAAGUUUCUCAACAGACACAAUGUAAAGUUUAAGAGGUUAAAAAAGAAGGAAAUGUUUUUAAAAUGGUAAACCCACACCAAACCCCCUCCCCCACCCCACAGGAUAUCCAACAGUAGUACAGUACAGCUUUCCCACUUUGCCUUGUAAUGUAACUCUGAACCCUCAACCUUAUUAUAGAAAACGGAUGUCCUUACCACCAAGAUAUCCAUCACUUGUCAAAAGCAAAUACACAUAGUAUAAGAGAGUAAAAGUACUGGCAUCCAUAAUGUUGAGCAGUUGACUAGGGAAAGCCUGAAUUGUAAUCCAUCACUCAGCAUCUCCUCCAUAAACAGCAAUUUCUACACAUUUCUUUCUCUUUAACCUAUCUAACCCCGUCAGUCCCUACAAGUAUUUAAGCUAACCCGUACAAGAAUUAUUCCAAAUUUAUCUUCUUGCGAUUUGAAUCGGGCAAUAGAAAGACAAGACGAGACGGAGAGUAGAGUGGGGAACAACAAAUUGUGCCCUAAAGAGUAAAGACGCCCCAUAUUCUUAUCCAAAAUGAGAGUCUCCCUCCAACACCCAAAUCCAUCACAACACUAAUUUUCAAACAUGAGGUCGUUUCCAUAACCUUGUCUAAUUGCAAACCUAAUGCCUAGGAAAGUUAAUACCGAUGAAAUUGAGUGUCCAAACGGUUUAAUUGAUAUCAGUAAAGUUAGGGUUCAAGAAACCAUUCUGACGAGAAAUUGAGUCUGAAACAACUGGAGAUGUAAGAAUUAAAUGAUGAAAAGAAAGAGAUAGAGAGAGACUUACAAGCUGACGAGAACGAAGAGCAGAUAAAGACUUGCGAGCUAAUAUAGCGGCCAUUGGAGUCCAGAUGCGAGAAAACCAAAAGCGAUUGGCCAAUAACUGAAAUGUUCCGCUUACACCUAUUAUACUCGAUCGGUUCACCGGCUUAUGAAACCGUCUCAACAUCCUACGGAGUAUUUAUUUUCUUUUCGGAAAAGGGUCAAAAAUACCCUUAAACUAUUCGAAAAGGCUUAAAUAUAUCCCUCAUCCACCUAUUGGGUUAAAAAUACCCCUCAGUCCACCUUUUUGGUGCAUUUUUACCCUUAAAACUAACACUCUUUUAUUUUUUUAAUUAUUUUUAUUAUUAUUUAUUACGUGGCAUCUUCUAAUUGGAUAAAACUAAAUUCCUACCCAUUAAAUUUUCCUUCAUCCGCCCCGACCCAUAUCUAUAGCCCCAUCACCCAAACUCAAUUUAAAGACCCUUUAAAAAAAACAUCUCUUUCUCACUAAAGCUAUUUCAGAAUCACCCAUCAACUACAAGAAGAAGCAUUUUCAGAUACUUCAACUGCUGUGUGAAAGCUUGAAUUUGAUUAGGAUUGAUUUUUGAGUAUUUUUCUAACUUUGCUGUAAGAUAAUGUUUCAAGGUUACUUUAUGGUAACUCUUCUAAGAAAUAUCAACUUAUUCUGGCUUUUGAAGAUUGUGAAAAAAAGAAGAAGCUAUUUUAGGACCAAGUUAAAGAAUUAAGCAACUUCAUUUGAUGUAUAUGUUAUAGAAAAUUAGUGCAUCUUACUUAUUUAAUUAAAUAUCUACUGGUUUGCCUUGGCAAGACUUAGUCUUUGUUUCUGUUAUGUUAUUUAGGUUUGAAUAAGUAUUUUAGGAGCUAUUUUAGGAGCAGGUUGUUUAGCUUAUUUUCUGGAGAAGUUUGUUAACUUUUAGCUUAUAAAUUUCAGAUGUAAUGUUUCGUUUCUCUUUAGGAAAAUAAAAAGAGUCUUAUUCCCAAAUAUCUUCAUCUUCUGCUUUCUAUUUUUUGUUUCAUAUGUUUCUUUCUUAAAAACCACGUAUCAGCAAUUCAUGUCUCUGUCAAUUUUUGGUAUCAGAGCUUCGUUACAGUAUUUGAAGUUGUGGAGUUAUGGAGUUAUCAAAUGCAGGAAACAAUUCCACAUCAGGAAUUGAGAAGCUUGUAGGGACGAACUACAAUUAUUGGAGAUUGUGCAUGGAGGCAUAUCUUCAAGGACAAGAUCUGUGGGAUUUAGUUACAGGUGUUGAUGCUAUUCCUGCUGAUAAUCCAGAAAAUGUUGAACCAAGGAGAAAGUGGAAGAUAAAGUGUGGAAAAGCUCUCUUUGCUCUGAGAUCCUCAAUUAGCAAAGACUUCAUUGAUCAUGUUCGUGAUGUAAGUUCACCCAAUGAAGUAUGGGAGACACUUGAAAGAAUAUUUUCCAAGAAGAAUACAGCAAGGCUACAGCUGUUGGAAAAUGAGUUGGCGAGCAUAACACAAGAAGGCAUGUCUAUUUCUGAAUAUUUUCUGAGAGUGAAAAGCAUUUGUGCUGAAAUUUCAGAAUUAGACAUGGAUGAGAAAAUUAGUGAAGCAAGGCUGCGGCGAUUUCUCAUUCGGGGACUGAAGAAAGAAUAUAACCCCUUUGUCACUUCGAUCCAAGGAUGGGCGACACAGCCGUCAGUUGAGGAAUUAGAAAGCUUGCUUUCUAACCAAGAGGCUCUAGCAAAACAAAUGGCAAAGAAUUCGGAUUCAGAGGACGUUCUUUUCUCAAAAGGAAAAUCUGACAGCAUACGUUAUCCAAAUAAAAGCACAAUUAAAUGCUACAGAUGUGGCCAAAUUGGGCACAUUAAGAAGAAUUGCCGAGUAAAGCUUUCUAGAGCAAAUAUUGCAGGUGAGCUGGAAGAUGAUGAUGAAAUAAAAUGGGAGCAAUGCUUUACAACAGAAGAAAUUGACGGAACAAACAAGACUAGUGCUGAGUUGCUACAAGCUCUCUCCAAUCAUGAAUCAUGCAGAGAGUGGAUCAUCGAUUCAGGUUGCUCUCAUCAUGUAACCGGAGAUGACUCACUACUUUCCGAAGCUCGCCAACACAGGGGAGAGAGAGUGAUUGUUACUGCAGACAAUUCAACUUAUCCAGUAGCAAAAGAAGGGGUGAUAAAGAUUAGCACUAACGACAACAAUGCUAUCAGGCUGAAUGAUGUUUUUCAUGUUCCAGGUUUGAAGAGAAAUUUAAUUUCUGUGUCUCAAAUUACAAACUCUGGAAAAUAUGUCUUGUUUGGACCAAAUGAUGUUAAAGUUCUUGCAAAUGUAAAAACCAUAGAUGCUGAUGUUGUUACCUCUGGAGAGAGGAAAGGUUCUUUAUUUGUAAUGUCUGCAGGGGAGGCAUAUGUGAAAAAGACAAGCCAAACUGAUAGUGCAACAAUCUGGCAUGCUCGUUUGGGUCACUUGAGCUACCAACUUUUAAAGGAAAUCUCCUCAAAGAAGUUAGUGGAUGGCAUACCAAGUUUACAAAAUGUUCGUGAGGAUGUAAUUUGUCAAGGAUGUCAGUUUGGCAAGUCGCAUCGUCUUCCUUUCAUGAAGUCAUCCAACCGUAGAUCCUCCAUGUUCGAACUAGUCCACACUGAUCUAAUGGGACCAAUGAAAACGACAAGCUACCGUGGGAAUCGUUAUGUCAUGGUGCUGGUGGAUGAUUUUUCAAGAUUUACUUGGGUGAAAUUCUUGAAAGAGAAAAAUGAGGCACUGUCCAAAUUUAGCGAAUUUGCAUAUGAUGUUCAAAAGGAAUUCGGGGUGAAGAUCAAAUGCUUACGAAGUGACAAUGGAGGAGAAUUCAUGUCAGAGGAUUUCUCUCAAUACUGCAACAAAAAUAACAUUUUGCGACAAAUGACAUGUCCAAAUACACCUCAGCAAAAUGGUGUUUCCGAAAGGAAAUUAGUUCAUCUUGCCUCUGUGAGUGUAUCUUGGAUACAUGACAAAAGUCUACCUCGAGAACUUUGGGCUGAAGCUUUUCAAUGUGCAUGCCAUGUGAUAAACCGCUUACCUCCAUGGCCUGGUAAGGAAAAAUCUCCUUUUGAGAAUUUAUAUGGUAACAAGCCAACUGUGAUUUACUUUCGAGUUUUUGGUUCAAUUUGCUAUGUACAUGUUCCAAAGUCUAACCGGACUAAGCUUGACCCGAAAGCAAAGAAAUGUGUUUUUGUUGGUUAUGACUCAUGCAGAAAAGGAUGGAAGUGUAUGGAUCCAGAAACAAGGAAAUUUAUUGUUUCAAGAGAUGUGGUGUUUGAUGAAGUCUCAUCGUAUUACUGUGAACAAAAAUCCUCAACUGAACAAGUCAUUCUUGAUGGUGAUGCAGAGAAUAUGGAGUAUCCAGGCCACAAUUUAGAAGAAUCCUCAGCUUCAAAUACCUCGAACCUUGAUGGUGAUGAGCAUAUCCAUAGAAAAUCAACAAGGGAGAAAAGGCAGCCAAGUCAUCUUGAUGAUUAUGAGGUUCAAAUAAACCCGUGUACUGUUACCUCAUGUCUUUUCGCAGGAACACUGGAUGAAGAACCAGUAAAUUUCGAAGAAGCUAAAAGGUGUCCUGAAUGGGAAGCAGCUAUGCAAGAAGAGAUUGAUGCACUACACAAAAAUCAGACAUGGGAGCUGGUUCCAAAACCAGAAAAUUGCAAUCCUAUCACUUGUAAGUGGGUAUACAGGUUGAAAAGGAAGUCUGAUGGGACCGUUGAUAAAUGUAAAGCUCGACUUGUGGCUCGCGGGUUUUCUCAAAGCUAUGGGAUGAAUUAUGAGGAAACAUUCAGCCCUGUUGCAAAAAUGGUAACUUUGAGAACCAUUUUUUCUCUUGCCUCUUUCAAAGGUUGGAAAUUAUGGCAACUUGAUGUGAAGAAUGCAUUUCUUUACGGAGAACUGGAUCGUGAAGUGUUCAUGGAGCAGCCAAAAGGAUAUGUUUCAGAACAAUAUCCUCAUUAUGUUUGUCGACUAAAGAAGGCAUUAUACGGUCUUAAGCAAGCUCCACGUGCUUGGUAUGGUAAAGUUGCUCAAUACUUUAUCUUUUGCGGGUUUCAAGUUUCAAGUGCAGAUUCUAGUUUGUUUAUUAAAGUAGAAUCAAAUAUGCACCUGUUGGUCCUUUUGUACGUGGAUGAUAUGAUUAUUACUGGUGAUAAUGAAGCCGAAAUCUCUAUGCUAAAAGAUGAACUGUCUAUUCGCUUUGAGAUGAAGAACCUUGGAGAGGUAGGUUGUUUUCUGGGUUUGGAAAUUGAAAAGAUUGAUCAAGGGUAUUUUGUUUCUCAAAAGAGAUAUGCUAUGGAGCUCGUACAGCGUUUUGGCAUGGGGAAGUCAAAAAAAAAAAGGCAACUCCUAUGGAGUCACAUCUCAAGCUGGUGAAAGAUGAAGGGGAGCUGCUGAAAGAUGCAAAGAGAUUCAGACAACUUAUUGGUAGUUUAAUCUACUUGACUAUCACAAGACCAGAAAUUUCAUAUGCAGUUGGCAUUGUUUCGCAAUUUAUGCAAAAUCCAAAGACUCCUCACUUAGAAGCAGCAAAACGAAUCUUGAGAUAUAUACACGGGACUUUUGAUUAUGGGCUUCUCUACAAGAAAAGUGAUGAUUUUUUGUUGAAAGGGUUUACCGAUGCAGAUUGGGCAGGCAAUGUAGAUGAUCGUCAUUCAACUUCAGGCUAUUGUUUUAGUGUUGGUACUGCUGUCAUCUCAUGGUGUAGUAAGAAGCAACAUACAGUUGCUUUAUCAAGUACAGAGGCGGAGUACAUGGCAGCAUCUAUGGCAGCUCAAGAAUGUAUAUGGCUAAAGCAAUUAAUUGGAGAUGUUUUUGGUACAAAUGACUAUGCUGUAGAAAUUUUUUGUGACAAUGAAAGUGCUGUCAAACUUGCUUCAAAUCCAGUUUUUCACGCAAGAACCAAACACAUCGAAGUACGACAUCAUUACAUUCGAGAGAAGGUACUGGAGGAAGAAAUUGUAUUGAAAGGCAUAUCUUCAAAUGAUCAAGUUGCUGACAUCUUUACAAAGGCCUUGGGAAAAACUAAGUUUGAAUUUUUCAGAGGAACUCUUGGAGUUUGCAGUCGUAAGCAUGCACUAUGGGGGAGUAUAGAAAAUUAGUGCAUCUUACUUAUUUAAUUAAAUAUCUACUGGUUUGCCUUGGCAAGACUUAGUCUUUGUUUCUGUUAUGUUAUUUAGGUUUGAAUAAGUAUUUUAGGAGCUAUUUUAGGAGCAGGUUGUUUAGCUUAUUUUCUGGAGAAGUUUGUUAACUUUUAGCUUAUAAAUUUCAGAUGUAAUGUUUCGUUUCUCUUUAGGAAAAUAAAAAGAGUCUUAUUCCCAAAUAUCUUCAUCUUCUGCUUUCUAUUUUUUGUUUCAUAUGUUUCUUUCUUAAAAACCACGUAUCAGCUAUCCAUGUCUCUGUCAAUUUUUUAAAAGAUGUUGUGGUGUUCUUGGUGGUCUGUGGUGCAGGGAGAAAGUAAACUAUCAUAAUAUUAUGCCCAAAUACAGUUGUUAGCUAACCUUUUUUCAUCAAUUGAUUAAUUAUGUAGCAGGGCAUGUGGGUGAUCAUUGAUAUUAAGUGCAGUAUAUUGUUUUUCAUUUAAUUUUUUUUGGUACACAAUUUUCAUUCCUGCAAGAAGCUAUUAGAUGGAGAAAGAGAGGUUAAUAUAUCCUUUAUUUUUAAUGGGUUUUUAAAUUGGGUUUUGGGUUAUGGGCUAUGGAUAUGGGUCAGUGGGUAGAGGAAAAUCUAAUGGGUUGGAAUUUAGUUUUAUCCAAUAGGAAGAUGCCACGUAAUAAACAUUAAUAAAAAUAAUUAAAAAAUAAAAGGGUGUUAGUAGGGUAAAAAUGAACCAAAAAAGUGAACUGAGAGAUAUUUUUAAUCCAAUAGGUGGAUGAGGGGUAUAUUUAAACCUUUUUGAAUAGUUCAAAGGUAUUUUUGACCCUUUUCCGUUUUCUUUUUUUUUCUAAGGGCGUGUUGAGAUUUUUUUAAAAAUAUAUUUAUUUAUUUAUUGGAAAAAAUAUAUUUUCCUUGAAACGAACACACCUAAAGUUCAUGUAUCUUUUCCUUAUUUUCUUUCAAUUCAUAAGUUGGGUAUUCGUUUUGGAGUGUUUCUAUUUUAUUUUUAAAAAAAAAUACAUUUUUAUGAGUUAAACUUGAGCUAAAAUUAUGGGCGGGAAUCCAUAGACAAAUAUUUAAAGUUGACACCAACUUCACUUAGGCAGCUCAAGUAGGCUUUGUUCAAAAUGACAAAGCAGAGCCUAAUUACGGGUAUUUAAAAUGAACAAAGUGUCUAAGUGAAAAUUGGUGUCAACUUUAAGGAAAGUUAUCAGGGGAAUAAAAUAAGAUUGACAAUUUUAUAUUUCACAAUUCUAUAUGCAUUUUUUUUUGGGUAAGUUAUGCAGAAUUCUGAAUAUGUACAGUAGGUAAAUCUUUGUAAUCAGAACAAAGAUCUGUUUUUUCUUCUAGUAUCUCAGUUGUUUGAAAAUCAAAAGGCAACAUCUCAAUGGAGCCAUCAAUUUCAGUGUGUUCUUGCUUAUCAUAUAUGACUCCAGAUUCAAAUCUUAAGCGUCUUUCAACGGCAGCCUCAACCCUCUGUUUAAAUUCAUCAUCUGUGCUAGACAACAUAUACCGAAGCUUGAAGUUUACACGGUUCUCCACCAUAAUCUUGUGUCUAGGAAUUAUUCUAUCAUCAAGUGAAUAGCUAAAAAACCUGUAAAAUAGACGUCACUUUCGGUAGAAUAGAGGGAUAGCAAUAUUGGAAGGACAGUUUCAUUGUGCCAUAUAUACCUUGGAAAUUCAAUAAGAUCCUGCAAAGGCCGAACCAUCAUCCUUCGCAAAUAACGAUACUUAGGGCGAAGGAUAUCUAUAUUGUAUGUCAGUAACAUUGGAAAAUCAGCAACCAUUUCACCUAGUUGUCUGAGAGUUAUGCCAAGGGAAAGAAAAUACUUCACAUUGUGAUCCAAUUUAUUGGCAAUGCUGCAUCCCAGAAGCUCUGGUCCUAGAGCUAUCACCUUUCCAAUGUUCCUCUGGGAGACACCAGCUUUUGUCAAAAGGAAUAUGACCUAUAAUAAGAUAGCCCGUAUCAGUUUUGCUCCAACUCUUUAAGUAGCAAGCGGUCUAGUAACAGAUAUAAUCAACGAUAAAAAAGAAACGAGAUAAGAGUUGUAUAGUUGCUCUGAUUCAUAAAUCAAGUCUUAGGUUCAUGUCAUACGGAUUGCACUAUCACCAUAUACUACUAGGACAGAGGAAACCGACAAUGUUUAGAGAAUUCAGAUGAAACUGACCACUGGACGUAUCUUCUUGUAGAGGCUGAAAGUGAGUAACCUGGGAAACCUGACAAGCACAUUGCCAAUAGCAUCUUGUUGGACACCUAUGUCUCGUAAAAAUUGAACCUUCAACAAUCAAGAAUGUAAAGUCAUUAGCAGGGAAAAAGAAAAGGGAAAGGAGGUAUUUUAAAACAAACAGAAAUUGUAGUAGAUAUUUUCUGAUUUGGAGGUAUAAAAUGCACUGCAGAAGUUCAACUUGUCAACAGAAACUUCAAAUCAAAGUGAAAAAACUUGAGUUGCCUCAUAAAUUGAGAUUUAAGUACUUGUAUUUUGAUGCUCCGACAUCUAAUGUAGUGCCACACAUGCCAAAAGUAAUAGCAUACCUUAGGCACAAUGGUGGUCUCGAAAUCAACACAGAACAACACUGGCCUGGUAACAAGAAUUUUUCUCAUACCAUCUUUUGAAAUCCCUAGGUAGUAAAAGUACUUGACAAGAGGCUUGAACUUCUCUUCAAUACCACAACCCAUCAAAUGGGGUUUAAAAGAUAAUAAUCUUCCAACAUCUUCAUUGCUGAGGCCAAACUCCUUGAGAUAUGCAACCUGGAUGAGCAUAAAUCAAGUUUCAACGAGAAGAAAAGUCGGAAUAUAAGAUUUCAUUCUAAAGUUAAAUCAACCAAGUGGCAUGUCAUAGCCACUUACAACGUCAUUCUUCAGUGCUUUUUGCACCAAGCAUGGGAAAAAACAAGAUAGCCCAUUUAUGUAAAGAACAGUAGAAAUAGGUUAAAUCAGGCACCUUUUGGUUCAUCUCUUCCAUAGAGAAGUACCCAAGCACCUUAGGAUAGUCAAACACCAUGGUUCCAAAAUCCUUCUCAUCCAUUCCCAUAUCAAAAUAGAAAUUUGUAUGAGACUCUAGUUCUUCCAUGCUGAAGGACAAUAUUUCAGGACAUCGGCCUACAAUAUACCCUAUCCAAUCUCUCUUCACACCCUUGUACUCCAAAUAUCCAACGAUUUCGUCCAAUUCCUCCAAGCUUCGACCCAAAACAUUACCCUUAGCUCUAAUCAUUACAAGCCCAAUAAAUCUUCCCUUCACAUGAAUUGACUUCAACCACUCAGCCAAACGUCUUAUUGAUUCAAGAUCUCCUCUGGACUUGCAAAUGAGGUUUGCAAUAUGAGGAUAUGACAAUUCAUUGUGUUUUAACCACCUGCAAGAAACACAGGGUAGUUUGGUUCCAAACUAGAUAUGCAAUAUUACAACACAGACAGUGGAGAGCCAGGAGUUCAUACAAGGAUUCAAAAAUGUCACAUCUGAGAUAUGAAUCCAUGACAGAAAGCAAAAUUUUGAACCUCCUUUUCCACUUCACAAAAACUUUCCCUUAAAAAAGAACUAGUUCUUGCCCUUUAUGGCUUAUGCACAGUUGAGAAUUCAGUUGAACCUCCUGCCUACAAGUUGCUAGUUCCGUCCCUAAAUGCAUGAAUUGCUAUUCAACAAUAAUACACGGGUGUGAAGGUCAAGAAAUUAGCUAAUCUUAAUAGAGACAAUAUACAUAAUCUUAUUCCACAUUCUAUCCCAAGUUUCAUGCAUAAGCAAGUAUUCGUUAUAGAGUCUUGUAACCGAAAAUGGAAGUUAUAUUAGUAUUUGCAGAAAUUUAUUCUAGGAUCAACCUUUGUAUUAACAAUGCAACUAUGUAGUGAGCAAAAUGUGUAUAAACAAACUUCAAUGUGCAUAUUCCUUUGUACCUCACAAUUGGCACGACACCAGAGUCAUCUAUGAAGGCUCUGGCACGAACAUUGAAUGAUGAACCCAAGAACUCAGGCAUUUGCUUCAUUGAAGCAGCUUGAAUCAUCACAUAAUCUAUAAAAUCAGGCAACUCGGAAACCAAAUUCGUCGAAUAGGUAAUACUAAACCUUCCCUUUCUCAUUGCUUCUUUAAAAAUCUCCACUGUAACUUUCCUCCUUAUCUCAAGUGCCUUUAUGAGCAUCUCAUCAUCAUCAAAUCCACUUCCUUUUUUAGAAUCAAACAAAGAGGAAAUUGGGGGUAAUGAAGUAUUCACAUCAGCGUCAGUAGGGGAUUGAACAUAUAAAGAACCUGGAAAUUGAGGGGUUCUUUUCCUUAUCAGUGACAUUUCAAGAACCUUCUCUUUAUCUUCUUCCAGUACAGCACAGUCUUGUUUUUCCGGUUCAGCUGAACCGGUUAACGGUUCUUGGUAUUCUUCCUGUUUGAGGUAACGGAGGAGAACAGCAGAGGAUUUCGAAUUGUGUUUUCGAGUGAUACCCUUUUCAUCAUUCGAUGAAGUGGUGGUGUUGGUAUCUGUUUCUUGAUUUUUAAGGUGGGGUUGCUGGUGGGGGUGGUGGGUGGAGAAAAUGGUAAAAGAACGACGCCGUUUUGGAGAGAAGCAUACAAUGGUGGGUAGAGUAGUUUGGUGUUGUUGGUUUAUGGAUUGUGGAGUGAAGAAGAAGUUAUGGUGAUGGAGCUCGCAAAGCAUCUUCAAUGGAGGAAACUUGAAUUUAGAUAAAGCUCUGCAAAUAUCUCAUCAGAGAGAAAAAGAAGGGGUUUUGGUUAUUCAUUAAAACCCAAGAAGUUAAACAAAACAAUACUUAAGCACCAGAAACAAAGAUAAAUUGCACUUGCCCUCACAUAGUUUAGACUGACCAAGUAAUUACAUGACCAACUAAACAAGUCAGACAAUGUAAUUACACCAAUUGCACCAAAUUUAUUUAUCUGGGUGACUUUCCAAAUAGACCCUAAGUUAAUAGUUAGGUGUGUAAGUGACAAUUUUUACAUAAACACGCAGUUAUUAUGUCUUAUUCCUAAUAUUUCCUUUAUUUGAAUUUGUUUGUCUUACUUUACUAUUUAGUUUAUUUCGAUAACUCUUUGAUUCUAAAAUUUUACAUGAUAUACUUGACAAUAUAAGGUUAAAGUACAUUUUGAUAUAUUCUUCGCUAGCGUUUAGUCAUAAAUUUCCAAAUAUUCUUGGCAAAUAUUAUUUGGGUGAAAUUUCUCUAUGUGUUUGGUCAUGGUAUUUGGGAAACAUAUUUCAUUUUUUUAGAAAAAUAUGAUUUAUACCCAUAAGUUUGUAUUACAAGUCAAUUGGAUCUUCGUUGUAACAAAUAACAAGUAGUGUCUAUAACACUGAAGCAAUGUGGUAGUUUGGAGUGAGUGCAACAAGCAUCAUUCCAUACAUCGUGAAGUAGACAAAACACAUGACUUUUGUUACCCUGAGCCGAUUAUUUAUCAUUUUCAUCAACAAUCAUAUCAUCACUUUCAUAUUCACCGAAUAUUUCAUCACUAUUUUGGUGUUCACGUAAAAAAUUAUAUCAUACAACACAAACAACUACUAUAUAUGAUGUUUUUGUAAAAGAUAAAAGUUUAGUGUAAAAUUUCAAUUUUUAAAAGAUCCCAAAUAAUGAUAUUUGACCCAAAUACUAAAAAAAUUAGUAUUUUUUUCUAGUAUUUGGAAAUUUGAGAUAUUUGCCAAAAAUAUUUACCAAAUAAUGACAAAUUAUAUGGACAAACACUAUUUACCAAAUUUUCCCCUAAAUAUUACUUGAAAAAUCUAUGGCCUCAUAUCUUUAUUUUAAGAUCUACAAGAUUCAAAGUCUCCUUCUAUCAAAUUUUUUCCAAGUAAUAUUCCUCUCUUCCGAUGGAGUACGCCUCCCUUUUUAGUAUAUUCCCAAAAAUAUCAAUUUUAUAUUUUUUAAAUAAUUUAAUUAUAAAAUUUAUAUUUUACCUUCAUAAAAUUAUCUAUUCGUACACAAAUAUUUAAGAUUUAUGCUAUAUCAUUUGAUUUUUUUCCUUUUUCAACUUUCUAUUUAUCCAAAUUCUAUAUUAUAAUUGGGACAUAAUGAGUAAUAAUAUUAAGAAACAUAACAGUCAAAAUAUUUAAAAUUAUUUUUAGAUCAUAAUUUUUUUUUUAAAAUUAUUUUCUUUUUUAAACUUCAUAUUCAACUAAUUUUAUCGCAUAACCAUUUCAAUUUAAGUAUUUUAAUUUGACGGAGCACAAGAUUUAAAAAUGAAGAUUUUUUUUUUAAUCUUGUAGAAAAUAUUGGUGGUCUCAUCUGCAUUUCACCACAUUUGUGUGUGUCUAGUUGUAAUAAACGAAACAUAAAAAGAGUACCAAACACAAAGCAACGCGAGUUCUUGUUAAGUCAAGAAUCAAGAAUCAAGAUUUAGAAACAUUGAGAGAGGAGACAAGCAAUUGGAAUCAAGCAAACGAAGAUGAUAAAGGGAGUGAUCUUGAUGAACGAUAAGGGAAAGCCCCGUCUUGCUAAAUUCUACGAUUAUCAUGUAAGUUUCUCUAAACCCUUUACAUUACAAACAAGAACACAAAGAUUAAAAUUAUUUUUGUUAAUUUUUUAUUCUUUCUUAAAAUCAAUUAUUUGUUGUAAUGUAAGGUUAGCCCACAGAAAAGCAGCAAGAGCUGAUUCGAAGAUUAUAUGGAGGUUGUAAUUACAUUUGAUUUCCUUCUUUCUUUUGUUUUAGAUUGUCAAAUUCUUUUUGCUUCUGUAAGUAUAAAGAUUGGAUCUUGAUCUGUGUUUUUCUGCCAAUUUCAUUUUUGUUAGGGUGGUAUUUGAAAAAUGCUUUUUUUUUUAAACUGUGGUAUCUGAGCCAGCUUAUGCGCAUUUAGAGUCAGAGGUGAAUCUAGAAUUUCUAGAACAUGAGUGCACCACUAAAAGAAGAAAAUAGUAUAGUAAGUGGAAACUGAUCCCUAGUCCUCUAGGUAACCACUCAACAUUCGACUUUCUUGUAGCAUGGGUGCCAACAGGUGCCCAUAUUUAGGCUAUAAAUAUGCCCCUGCCUAGACUAAUUCCGUGAGAUACCUGUCACCUCCCACCAACAAUAACUACCAGGUAACAUGUAAGAAAUCACGUAGUGGUUUUGAACAUUUAUAUUAAACCUAGUGAUGUGAAGAUUUACUCUUUUGUUGUUCUGUAUGGUGAUCAGUGUACUGUUGAUUGUCGUGUAAAUCAUUAGUUGUGAUAUUUUGUGUUCAAGUGCAGUUUUAUCCAGUAGAGCAGAGAAUGUAAGCAACUUCGUCAAGGUUGACUCCCUCUUUGGACCGGUAUGUGUUUUCCUCUUGGCUCUCUCUAUAUCUCUCUGAAUUUGGUUUUCUAUUUUUCUUUUUGGUUUUUAUCAUUCCUCGAAAGUACAUGUAAAACAAAGGAAAGGGUUGAUCAAUCUUUUUUCUUCAUCGUUACUUUAUGCUAACCAUUGCUGAGAUUCUGCUUAACCUGAAUAGCUAGAGAGAUUCACAUCUUGUGCCUCCUUACAUACAGGAUGCUCGACUUGUGUACAAGACUUAUGCCACACUACAUAUUUUAUUCAUAUUUGACAGCUCAGAGAAUGAACUUGCAAUGCUUGAUCUCAUGCAAGGUAUAUCUACUCAAGCUCUGACCAUGCUGGCUAUAAGAUAUUAUAUCGAUUAAUAGAAGAGCUGUGACUCAUUAUCAAAAGGUUACAUUAUGUAUAAGUAAAUCGAAAGCCAAAUAUCUCUUCUUUGAUAGAUUUUUAAAGUAAUUUGUGUUUUUCUUCCUUCGCACUGGGAGUUCAGGCGCAAAACUCUUGCAAUGAAACAAACUUGUCACUGAGGCUUCCUAACGAUUUCUUGCUUGUCGCCUUGCGGUAUCUGUUGGUUCCAAAAUAUUAAGAUUGAAUGAAAAGUCCUUCCCUUUUAAAAGAAACUUUAGCAAAUGAAAAUUUAUCACACAUGUAUCUUUUACUAAAAUAGUAUAACAUGGGAUAUGGAGAAAUAUGCAAGUUUGAGCAUCAUCAUGUCUUAUGGUGGUCUGAGAUCUUUGAUAGCUAUGCAGUACCACUUUCAACAUCUAAAAUUUGGUGGGAGUGCUGCUAUUAAUUUUCGUCGAGCUGUACUAUGUCAUAGGUCUUCAUAGGAAUGACAGGAGUGAGUUUGUGGUCACUGCUAAACAUUUAUGGUAAGUGUGUGUAUUUGUGCUUCUGAUGUAAGCUACCUGAACACAAUUUAAGAACUCCGUUUGUAAAACCAGAGCAUAUUCUGAUCAUUUUAUUUUACUUCAAUGUAUAUGUCAUCAUUCUCCAAGAUUUGCUAACUUGAAUGAUGUUGACAAUAUUUUUGAGUUUCAGUUUUUGUGGAGACAAUGGACAAGUGUUUCAGCAAUGUACGUGAACUUGAUAUAGUAUUCAAUUUCAAUAAGGUUGGUCUUCUCUCUCGGUUUAGCAUCAUGAAGUAUGUAUCACUAAAGUUAUGUAGUUGUUCAGUGACUUGAUUCCUUUGGGUUUUGUGGUACUUGAUAUAUUAAAGAAACACUUGUGUUUUGGUUCAUUGUUUACAUCAACUUUGGGGAUACAAAAUAAUUAAGACUUGGGAUACCUUAAUCUCCAAAUAUCUCAACUGGAAGUUGACUCCCCCUGAAAUAAUGUUGAUCUAAGAAGCAGUGCUACUGUGCUAAUUGAUUAGUUGUAAGUGGGCCAUUCUGGAAACAAAGGGAUGCUUAAGUAUAUUAGAGCGAGCUAAUUCUUUUUGUACAUCAAGAGUUUGAAAUAUAAGAAGUGAAGGUGGUGAAAUUUCAACGUGGCAUUUACUUCUUUUGAGUUAAGUUGACAGGUAUUACCAAAUGAAUUUGAGAAACUAUUACUCUUCUUAGGAAUAACCGUAACUAAUCAAAGACAAGAAAGAGUGACCGGCCUGUAGAUAAGAUCUUAUUUGCAUUGACAUUCUGCUUCCAUAAUUUAAACUAAAAAUGUUUGAGACUUUGCUGAUGUAUUGAAGUUUUGCAGGUGCAUGCUAUAUUAGAUGAGAUCAUUUUGGGAGGUGAAGUUCUUGAGACAAGUUCCUCAGAAGUGGUGAAGGCUGUUGAAGAAAUCUAUAAGUACUCUCCGAACCCACUAUGUUUCUUUUUACUUUUGUUUAUUACUCACCAGACAUAGGUCAAGAUGUUAUAAACUAUAUUUGUUCAGGAUGGAAAGAGCUGCAAAUUCAAUCAUGGCAGUUCCAUCAAUAACUAGCUGGCAAGGUCGAUAGCACAUGUUGACUUUGGUAAGUUCUGUAGGACAAUUCAGAUAAUCUAUCAGGGAGUAAUGAUUAAAUAGUGCUACCAAAUUUGGUUUCAAGUGGUUCUGGCAAUGAUCAAUGAACUGGGCACUGUAUUUGUCAACCAAGUUGUUGAACUAUUACUCUUUGGUGCUUGAAAUUUCUGCACAAGAGUUUUCGGAGAGCUACAGUACUUGCAAGUGAACUAUUCGACUUUUGUCUACAGAGUUGUGACGUUCCAAGUUUUAUCCCAUUUGGAGGAAAAAGGGAAAAAUAAAAGUUACUUGAAGUGAAUAUAAGAAAGUUUAUAAGUGCUUCUUCAAUAUGAUAUUUCCUUUCAACUAGUUGUAUCUAUUACAUUGUGUUUGACUUCAAGCUUUCGGCAUAUCAAAAGCUGCAUAUAUACAUGAAAAUGAGACUCUAGGGACACGUGCACUUGUCAAAUCAUUAUUGCAUAGAUGAUUUUGAGUUGAUUAAAAUCAAUUUGGACGUCCCUUUUUUACUUUUACUUUUUGCUUAUUUGAGGAAAGGGAAAUUUAUCUCAAGACCUUGUAAAUGUUAUAGUGCCAUAAGGCUAUUUCUGCUGCUUACGGUUAGAUUUAUGGCAUUUGACCUUUAUUUCAUCAUGGUGAGACAUUCGAACACUACAUGAUUUUGGUCUGUCGUCUGUCUAUAAACCAUAUAAGCCAAAAUUUCUAAACUACCCAUUGCCUAAAAGAAACCAUUGUUAGAGGACUAAGCAUAUGUUUUGCUGCAUUUCCUACGAAGAAUGCUUCUUCGUUUGUCCUAAUUUGAACAAACUAAACUAUUAUUUCCACACCCUAGUAUCGGAUGACAUACCUCCAGGCUCGUCAUUGGUAAAAUUUGCAUGUUCCUAUGAUUUCCCUAAAGAGUUGCUGGCUGGUAAAUGUCAGUUACUUGGUACUUGUUGCUGGUGGAUUAGUCUGCAAGCUGGCCCGGACGCCGUGGUUAUCAAAAACAAAAAUGUUAUACAGAUGCAGGUUCCAAAGUUUUUGCUUGAACAAAACUGUGAUCAACUCCUUGGUCUUAAGAAUUACCCUUACUUUUGUUGCCUAAUUGUUGCAUUUAAAAUAUUUAUUUUCUAUGAAUGAUCAUUUAGGUGAGGAUGUAUUAGAAUGAAAUCUUGCAUCCAAGUGCAUGUCUUGGUAGUCAGUGAAAACCAUAAGAUGUUAGGGUUCAAAUCGGAACACAGGCAGAAAACACAGUGAUUUCUUUCCAUCUAUCUAAACAUUAGUGAGCAGAGUUAAGUUAUACCCCAUACGAGUGCUGAUGGAAAUAGUUGAGGCAGUCAAGAAGCACGAUUUUGAAAAUGAAAAAAGCUAAGAGUAAAAUCUUCUUCUUGUGUAUAUUCUGAAAUGUGUACUGGAUUUGACUAUAGCCAUAUUCAGCCCCACUCCUCUUUUUACCCGUCUGCUGGUUUAGAACCUCUGCAUAUAUAUACACUGGACUGUCUUUCAAGUACUACAACACCUGCUCAAAUAUAAGGAGUACAACCAAAAUUAAAGGGGCAAUUUAUGGAUUAUGGUCCAGCUGUCUGGAAAAAUUUCAUCAAACCAUAACAUAGGCAACAUCAAUUAUUGUCCUCUACUAUUGCCUAUUGGUUCUUGGCCAAAGUCUUUAAGUGCAUCAACUCACUGCCCAAACCUUCCAUGCCAUUCAUUUUACUUUUUUCUCUUUAAGGCAUUAAAGUUGAUGGAAUUGCUGGGGUCAUUGGUGAACUGGACACUAUGAGUCUGCAACAUCAAAUAGUGAAUAACAUUUAGUGUUGACUCUAUCUAUAUGGCUAUCACUAGGGGUAGCGACUACGAUACUCUAUUCAGCAUUCAAUAAUUUAUCAUACUAUUGGUGUGACCCGUUUGAAAUAAGUAUCUUCCAAAUAAAUGUGAGUAUUUCAAUGAACCAUAAUUGUCCUUUUUUUUGUUAGCAUGUCGAUAAUUUUCUAAAUUAGAUCUGCUUAAUCUAGAAAAGUAUGUGCAAUAUUUGAAAUUAUCUAUUUAACCAUACUAACUCUAGGUUCUCCACAUCUAACAUGUCGAUGAUUCAGAAUUCUGAGUCACACUUGAGUAAGUGAUGAAUCUUUGUUAAAUCAUGUUCACGUGAAGCCAAUAGCGUGUGCUGAAACUCUUAUUUUUAUAUUAAAAAUUCAUUAUAUAUACAUAAGUAUUUGAAUCUGAAUUCAGUUGUUAAUGUAUAUUAACUUUGAAUUCACUGUAGAAAUUCAUAAACUUUAAAUUUUGGUUCUGUCUCGCAUAAUAUUUGACUAGUAAAGGUUAUAUCACCAUCCCAACUAACAACUUGAAUGAAAGUAAUAAAUAGGAUAUAUAAUACUUAUAACAAAAGGACGGGAUUGUUUUAACUUGUAAAAUAAUGGAGUGUCCUAGUUUACUUGUUUGUUAAAUGAAUUUUUAUAACAUUUACUAUUAACCAUGUGAAGUAUUUUCAACAAGUUGGUCCCAUGGUCUAGUGGUCAGGACAUUGGACUCUGAAUCCAGUAACCCGAGUUCAAGUCUCGGUGGGACCUUAUUUUGUUUUCUUUGUUCUGUUUGAUUUUUAUUUUCCCACUAUUUCAGAGAAAAUUUAAUAAUAGAAAAAAAAACUAAAUUGGUAGAUGUAUACGACUUCUCAACAAACAGAAAGAAGAAUAAAAUCAGACGAUGUUUCGGAAUUCAUAAUUUUGUAUUUUUUGUGCGAACAGAUUGUUUGAAUUGAAUACUGUUUUCACAGUAAAGCGCAGACUAAUCGUAGAGGUUGAGUACACGGAAAACAUAACAAUUAUACUGGUUAUGUUGUUGUUAUAUUUGGACAAUGAUCUCUUGUGAUUUUUUACGACCGUCGAUGCUAAACCAUCUGUCAAACUAAUAAAACAAUGGUAGACCAGAAAUCAGUGUGCACAGAAAUUGGCACGAGACCAAAAGUUGUAAGCAAAGCAAAUUCAGUAACAAGAAAAAGGAUAGAACAAUGGGAUACUCUUUUUUUUUCUUUUUUCCUCUCCUCCAAUUGGAAAAUGAAAGAUUGUGUAUAAUUUACAUUCCAUGGAGAGACUAGUAAAAGAGAAGAAUUAUAAGAAAAGAAUUGGAAUUUGGAAGCAAACAUAAACCCCCCAAAAACAAAAUUAACAAAAAGAACCACCACCACUACUAAAUCCUGUUUUCCAACUCUAUCCCCAGAAAAAGAAAAAGAACUUAAAAUCCCAAAACCCCAAUAAACAAUUUGAUGUUUGCUGUCCCCAGGUAAACUAUGCAUCUCCAUUUUCAAGACCAGGGCAAGAUAAUGGCUUGCAAACUCAAGCAUUCCGGAAACGGAGAAUGUACAAGGUGUCCCCAAACAAAAAUGCAACCUUAAUGCAGAUCCUACUGCAUUAUUAACAAAGAAUUAAUGACAAUCACCCUCCCUUCUACUCCGCCUGUGGUCCUCUCUCUACAUCGUGCUCCUCCAAUGGCUCAGGGAAAAUCUCUUUGGACUGUCGUCUAGUUGAUGAAGAAUGACCGUUGUUGUCCCCAUUAGGACCACUUCCUUGAGAGCCUGUUGUUCCGGAUUGCUUCAAACUACUUGUUCCUUCCAACUUAUGUGCUGAAGCUGCAGCAGGUACGGCUGCUACAUCUGAGGAGCUACGCCAGCUGCCAAACAGUGCAGCGUUCCAUGAACUUCUCGAUGAAGUUGCUCUAAGUCUUGCUGAGCUAGUGUGUUCUUCCCUAACUACCUUCAAAGGGUUUUCCAAAGCUUUAAGGAUGUAUCUCAUUAAGGGUCUCCUUGACGGUUUGGGAUUGAGGCAGGAUCUGGCAACAAUAGCCAUCGCCCAUACUUCCUCUAAUAAAUCUUCGUCUAUGAUUAGGGAAGGAUCCACAAUGUUUGUGACAAGUUCUUUAUCAUAUAUACUAAUGUACUUAAGCGUACCGUCCAACCACUCCUUCAUGCUGGCGUCAUUGGAUGCACUGAUACCUAGCUUGCCAGUUACUAGCUCGAGCAAAACCUUUCCAAAACAGUAGACAUCAUACGCACAAGUGGCACUAGGUGUACCUGUCCAUUCGGGUAAGAAAGAAUAUUAGGACGAGAUAAGUAGACUUUGAAGUAUUCCCUAGUGAUAGUUCAAGCAACAAAGCAUACUCCCACAAAAAGUAAAGCAAAACAUCGCCAUCAAAAUCUCCAGCCCUUUACGCUCUUUGGAAUCAGCUUUAUAUCGUAAAUUUCCACCUAAUAGUUUCACUUAUUCUUACUUCUAAUGAGAAUCUACAGUUUUGAUUUGUUGCCUAGAUCAAUUUAAGGAGAUUUUACCCACCAACAAACAAUACCGGAAAUGUGACGCAAAUAAUUUUAAAUAGUUACUUGCACCAAUUUAAUAAAUAUUAAGAAUAUCCAAGUAAACUCUAUUUAAGGAAAGUAGAACUAAAUAAAGUUGCACAUACCUGAUGCACCUUGUUCCGACGUCCUGCAAAUAAGAAAGGGAGAACUAUGUCAACAAGCAGUAUAAACUAUAAAACAGUACUGGUUGAAAGAAUAUAACAAAACUUUUGAGAUCAUGCAACAAGCUUCGACGAAAAGCUGGACAAACAGUGAUAACCAUUCAUAAGACAGGAAAUACAUAUGGAAAAGUUUUCACUAUAAAACAAAAACUUCUAAAGCUUUCUGGAUUAUGAUUGAAUAUAAUCAUGAUCAGUGGUCGUAAGUUCAAUUUCUAAAAUAAGAGAACCUGGAAAGUUUUAACAGAAGCCAUGAAGAUUAAAAUAAUAGAAUAGAAGGCCUCAAAUCUUUGGCAUCUAACAUAGGGACUUCAAACCAAUUUUUCACAUGCCAUUAUAUCUAGGUCGUUCCAGAAGUAUUUAGUAUUUACCCCACAAUACAAAAUUUAAUAAUUUCCUGCAUUCAAUGUGUAGGCAUAACGAGAAUAGGUAAUAGUUAAAGCUAGACAAUGAGAGUAAGAAAUAGUUAAACUUACUUCAGCACAGGAUGGAAAGCUAAAAGAAUGAGAACUAUGCAUUCCCUACCAAAUAGCAAAACCAACAAAUUCUCCUUAAGUGAAAACAUGUACAUCAAAGGACUAUGUUACAUGGAUUCAGCUACGCAUGCAUAUCCCAUACAUGAGUUUUAAGUAUACAGUAAGGGUACAUACAAUUUUUUGCUAAUUUCUACUUAAACUACAACACCCAUGUGACACCCGCUAGACAUAGGUAAAUCAAGGCAAGAAGAUUCAUAUAACGUAGAAAAGGAAUAAUUUACUGAGGGAUGGAACAAGUAAUUAACAAGUGGGUGAUGGUCUUUCAGACUAGACUGACUGUUCUUUACGGUGUUCCUUGUAACUUGAAUACUGAGAAGAAAUAAGAUAAUAUGCAGCUGCAUGAUAACUAUCAUCAGGACUAAACUAGUCAGGGCCUAUAUUACAAGUUGUCAUAAUUUAGAAACAAAGCUAAAGCCCUUUUGUAUAAGAACAGAUAACAAGGUUAAGAGUAAGGUUGCUGCAUGAACGUUAGGAUUCUCAUUUAUAUCAGAGCUAAUAAAUAUACACCAGAAAGACUUGAGCUGGCAGCAAAACUGUGGAACUCAAAUCCAAUUUAGAAACCAAGCCAAAGUAGUUUCUAUAACAUCAAAUUGGAGAGACAGAUAUAUUAACAAUAAAACUGCCUGAUUUUAAGAUCCAUCAUGGGAGACAAAAAUUGACCAUUACAUAACAACCUAGUAGUAAUAGUAGUUAGCCUUCAAAAAGAAAAGGAUGGUUAGAACAUAGAAUUUACCAACAACAACUACUUACUGUGGAAAUCUGAGCAGCCUGGAAAUUCGGUUUUGAUGGCUCUCUCCUUCUUGUGCACAGGCCUCAUUUAGACUCCCUAGCCGUACUUCAAACUUAUCAUCAAGAAGUAUGCUGCUUGCUUGAACAUCUCUGCGAGAAUAGUAGGCAAAGGAAAAAGAAGAUGUCACUACAUGAUGCACUAAAAAAUUUCUGACAGAAAUAAAGUUCUUUUUUGGGGGUGGGGGGUGGAGGUAAGAUUGAAUCCAAGAAACUAAUUCAUGCAAUUAAACCAUUGAGAAUUUCACGGUGAACUGCAGCAGAAAAACUAUACGGACAUUUAGAGAAGCAUCUCCUUUGGAAACUCCUUCUGAAAUGGAUAUUCGGUUCAAGAAAGUCUAUUGGAUUCCCCAUGAAAGGAUCUUUUGUUUGUAACUGAGAAAUCCUCCCAGCUCUAUUGGCGCACGAUCCAAAACUCGGUGGAUAAUGGGUCCCAGCCUUCUACCUUUCUCCACUUAAAUACCAAGCUUUAGUCUAUGGUAGGAUUCAAACUGAUAACGUGAUCUUAACCCACACAUAAUGAGUUGUGCUCUUGCCACUAACCCAAAUCCCUAAGGGUUGCCCGGUGAAAGAAUAAUGGUUGAACCCAAAACAUGCAGAUGAAAAGUUUUAGAGAAAUAAGAUAGUUCACUGACAGGCUUAGGUUCCAUGGAGAUAAAAGGUACAAUAAGGAGUAUCAUAUGAGGACUACCUUUAGUUGAUUAAGAUUGAUGGGAUUGUGUCGAGGUGUGCACAAGCUAGCCCGGGCACCACGGUUAUCAAAAAAAGAAGGAUUGAUGUAUGGAGAAGGUUCAAUAAUAAGAAAAGAAAACAAUUUUUAAAAAAACAUUACUGUUCUUAGUUUGAGAAAAUUUCUAUUUCUGCAUUCACAAUAUCUCUGCACAAUAGAAAUAUAAUGUCAUCAAGAUCUUCUAAGGCCACAUCCCUCAUACCGAAUCUAACACAAUAUAAACUGCCUAGAUUAGAGAUAUCGCAGCCAUGCAUGGAACUAUAGAAGCUGAGCUUACAGCAAUUUUAGAAGUGCAUGGCUCUUGACUUUACAUUGCUAAGCCCUAAAAGGACAGGUUUUAGGUUUACUAAGCUCUUAAUUUUAUUACAUGCAGGUGUAGCUCAUAAAAAUAGUAAGUGAAGCCCUCAAGUUGAUAGAGUCAAGCUCCAGGUACAAGAUAUUGUGGAGGCUAUUCCUUAUGUGAUGAACUCUGUAUAAUAAUAGUCUCACGAGGCAAUAAACAUUACAGAUCUCCAACUGAUAGCAAAUCAGAAAACCAUCAACCAUAAAUUGCCUCCUUUUAUAAAUCUCGAGAAGCUAAGAGCGAAGCAGACAUCUAAUAUUUAUCAUUUAUAAAUAGGCUUUAGAUGAGUUUCAGUCGACCAGACAUGGGCACAAUCCAUAAAGUUGCAAGCACCUUUAACGUGCAGAGUGUCUGCGCUGCACUGAAUUUUUGGCUGAAAAUUUGAGAGCCUUCUAUGGGAAUCUUGUCCCGCCUAAUUCAGAGACACGAAAUACACUGAUAUUUGAUAGCUUUCAUUCAGAGCAUUUUUCCUAGUAUCUCCAACGUGUACAAACCAAAAAGGGCGCUCUCCAAGUCAUCAAGUCAUAUCCUUUAUUACCUUGAGUCUAGCCCAAGAGUCACCAAUUAUGUAUAACCAAUGAAUAUACAUAGAAAGAGUAGCUGGUAGCCUGCAACUCUUCCAAGAUAUAUGAUAAACAUGUUUAAAUGAAAACUUGUAAUCAUGAUAGUGAAAUAUAAGUGCACAUGCGAACAUGGAAAUCUAAUAGUAAAUCACAUAAGUCCAGCAUUGCUAUUCAAGUUCUCUCAGAUUAACCAUAAAAGUGGUGGCACAUGGAAGUAAGAUAAAUGUAAUAUGACAAGUCCUUGAUACCUGUGCACUAGAGGCGGGUUACAUUCAUGAUGUAGAUAAGACAAACCCUCAGCAGCUCCAAUAGCAAUUUUCAGUCUUGUUAUCCAAUCCAAUGACUGCAAACUAUCAUCAUCUGAAUUGUUUUUUCUAAACAAAGAACUUGAAAGAUCUCCAUUUGGCAUAUACUUGUACACCACGAACUUCUCAUUCUCAUUCUCCAAACAGUGCCCCAUAAAAGGUACUAAUCUUGAGUGAGAAACCUUGCUGAAGAAGUCCAAUUCUGACAAGUAUGCUUCAUUCCUUGCAGACUGCACAUCUAUUCUUUUGACAACUAUAAGGGUCCCGCCUUCUAGGGUACCACGGAAGAGAUCACCUGAAUGACCAUGCUUCAUAAGAUUUGCAUCAUUGAACUCACCUGUGGCUUGAAGAAUCUGCUGGUAGGUAAAUGCAUCUCCUAAACUUGAAAAAUUCAAUGAUACUCCAGGUGCAGGAGGUGGUGGACUUGAACUGGCAGGACCGGGCCCAACCUCAGUGGCUCUUUGAUUCGUGGCACCCCGUUUGCGGGUGCAAAAAAUCAGCAGCAAUAUACAGAUAAAGACAAGUGCAAGUAAUCCAACGCUACCCAGAACAGCCGCCAAUAUGAUUUUAUUUCUGUGACUCUUUCUGUUGGAUUUAGAAGCUGGAAGAGGCUCUGUGGCAUUUGGCUCUCCAAAAUUAUCAAACAACAAGCCACGUCCGCUAUAAAAAGAAGCACAUUCGCUCCUAUUCCUUUGACUUGUCACAUUUUGGAGGCAAUUGCUACUAAUUGACGCGUUGCGUUGUGCAUAAUUUGGGAGUUUGCCUUCAAAAUAGUUUCCUGAUAGAUCUAGAAAACUGAAGCUUCUGUUUAAAGACGGCAAAUUUCCAUAAAACGUAUUAUGAGAAAGAUUAAACACUGCACCAGUGGCAUUGACAACGGAGCUAACAUUUGGCAGAAUACCAGUGAGGUUAUUCGCAGAGACAUCUAGGAAUUGCAACCCAGGCAUCGACCACAAAGCAUUAGGCAACGAUCCAGACAGCCUAUUAUUCCCAACUACCAUACUCUUCAAGUUCCGUAAUCCUCCUAAUUCAGGGACCACUCCACUUAGACUAUUGAAGCUGAGGUUAAGAUCAACCAAAUUAGAAAGGUUACCGAGUUGGGUGGGUAUCGAAGUAGAAAAGCUGUUGUCAGACAGAUUCAAGGAUUUCAACUGAAGCAAAGUCCCAAUAUCUGAAGGAAUAGCCCCAUUGAAGAAAUUUGAAGACAUAUCAAGCAAGGUAAGGUUCUUAAGAGAAACAAAUGUAUCAGGAAUUACCCCAAGAAGCUUAUUAUGCGAAAGAUCAAGACUUGAUAGGCGUGACAAUUGACCGAAACUUCGAGGCACUUGUCCAGUGAGACCAUUGUUGGACAAAUUGAGAGUAACUAAACUAGUUAAAUUGCCAAGGGAAGGAAGAAUAGGACCAAUGAGGGAACAUGACCUGAGAUCAAGUACCCGAAGAGACACAAGCCUAAGACCAAACCAUUCAGGAAUAGAACCAGGAAGUACAAAAUUGGAAGCAUUAAAAGAUUCCAAAAGAGUCAAAUUUUGGAGAGCAUCAACUGAGAAUUGAGGGGUUUGACCCCCAGCUCGAGUACGUUUAAAACCAGAUAUGUUGAUCUCAGUAACUCGACCAUUCUUGCAACGAAUCCCAGCCCAGUUGAAACAAGGGUUACCCUUUAUAGGCCAUUCUUUGGCUCUUAACCCUAAAGAAGAUCUCAGUUGAAGCAAAGCAAAUUUCUCAGCUGAAGAACUAACCCUCUGCUGAAAUGUAGAGUCAAACAGCAAGAAAAACACAAAACAAAACAAAACCACUCUGCCCUGUUGGUUCGCCAUUCUUGCUCAACCUUCAUUUAACUUCGAAAAUUCUCAUCAUUUCUCAAAUAUAUAUAAAUGGGCAUCUCUAAUUUGUUAUACCCCUUCUAUAUCAUAGUGAUUCUUGAAAUAAAAAAGGGAAUAUACAUUCUGUGUCAGAAAAUUAAAGGGAUUACCUUUUUUGAGUGAAUCAACUAAGCUUUUGCUUUGAUUCUUUGUUCUUGAUAAAGCAAAGAAGAGUUCUAAAUGCUAAUCCCUAUACUGUUUUCUCUCUACCAACUCUUUUUCUUUCAGUUUCUUCAGUUUGAUAGGUAAGAGAGAAGAUUAAAAAAAUGGUCAAAAAAAAAAUGGGUUCUUUUUUUGUGUGUGUGAGAAAGUGGUGUGAAUGAAGAAAAGAGGAGAAAUAGUAGAUGUAGAGAGAGAAAGUAAAUGAGUCAAUCCUAAUUCUCUCUCUAAAAACUCUGUGUGAUUAAUUGGAUCAUUGAUGUACUGUUCAUUACUGUAAUCUUGAAAAUUUAAUAGAAGAACACAAAAAAGAUUGUAUUUUUAUGGAAAAAUAUUUACCCCUUUUGGAAAUAAUGCUGACAAAAAGUGAACUUUUUUCGCCGCCGUGGACGGUGGUGGGGUGGUGGGAUGGUGGGGGGUUGAGGGGUUAAGUUGACUACCGGGAAAGUGGCAAAAAAACAGCUAAGCUAAAAACAACUAGUUUAAUUCUAAAAUAGAUUAACAAUAAUUAAAUUACUUAAUUUGGGUUUUAUUUUUUCUCUCACUAGAAUCUUUCUUCUAAUUAUUUCUGUAAUUAUUACUCUUUUCCUCUUUUUAUUUUGGUAGAUAAAUAAUGAGAGUAUCUGGUAAAGUAUUAUUCGGCAACUUUUAUGGGAAAUCUUUUAAUUAAUUACCUUUUCUUUUAUAUUGCAAAUUCGAUGAUAUUUAGGUAAAUUUUAUUUAAAGCAAAGUUAUUAUUUAUGAUUUUUUUUAAGAGCAACUUUCACAUAUAGCAAACAAAAAAAUCAUAUUUGUAUGCUAUAGCAAGGUUUGCAUAAUUGCGCUCCAUAGCAAACAUAUAUAUGUAUAAUUCGCUAUACAUAUACAAUUGAAAGCUGUCUAUUUCGCUAUACAUAUAUACAAAAAGAAGCAAUUGUAUAAUUCGUUGGCUCCUCUUCAGAAUUGUAUAAUUUCGCUGGCAGGCCAUUUGUAUAAAUUAUUGUUAGCCUCUCGUUUGUAUAAAUCGUUGACAAAAAUAUUUGUAUAUAAAAAAUCGCUCUCUUUCGCUUUAUACAAACAUAAAUUAUACAUUAUACAAGCAUAAAACUGGGCAGGGGAAUAUUUUUAUUGUAUAAUUAUAAGUGUAUAGGACGAAUAUAUAUGUAUUUGCAUGUGUAUAUACAAUUUUCUCUCGCUUUAUACAAACAGAAACGCAAUUUAUACAAUUCUGUUGUAUAAACGAGAAAGAGAGAAAGACAAAAGAGAACUGGGCAGGGGAAUAUUUUUAUUGUAUAAUUAUAAGUGUAUAGGACGAAGAUAUAUGUAUUUGCAUGUGUAAAUACAAUUUUCUCUCGCUUUAUACAAACAGAAACGCAAUUUAUACAAUUCUGUUGUAUAAACGAGAAAGAGAGAAAGACAAAAGAGAACUGGGCAGGGGAAUAUUUUUAUUGUAUAAUUAUAAGUGUAUAGGACGAAUAUAUAUGUAUUUGCAUGUGUAUAUACAAUUUUCUCUCGCUUUAUACAAACAGAAACGCAAUUUAUACACUUCUGUUGUAUAAAGCGAGAGAGGCGAGCACAGAGGGGGUGAGCGAGAGAGGAGAGUGGCGAGCGAGAGUUUGAGGGAGAGAGGCGCUGACAAACAGUUUGCUACAGGACACAAUUAAAUCAAAGUGUGAUUAUACCAUUUAAUUUGAAUUAAUAGUUUGUCAUUAUGUACAAUUUUUCCUUUUUUUAAAUAGUGCUGACUAAGAGUUGGUUUCUUUUUUGGUGGAAAAAGUGUUGAAUGAGACGAAAACAUGUGUGAGACAGAUUUCAUAAUAUUAUUUUUUUGAAUAAAUAAAUAAAACAUCUUUGGACGUGCUUGGGUUUAUCUCAAUAAAUAAAAUAACAUCGUGUUAAAAAAAUUAAAUAAACUACGGCAUGGGUUACUCUUUUCUUUUAAUUUGAUUUAUCUGAUAAUUUUAUUAUUAUGGAUGAUUGGAUUUUAGGUAUAAUUAUUAUUAUUUAUUUUAUGAUGUUAAUUUAAUUAUAUAUGAUAUUCUCUCUAGUCCAUGUUAAGUGAAUUAAUGGGAUAUGAUACACUUUUAAGAAAAAUAUUUAAGAACAUUAAUUAAAUGUUAGUAUUAUCCUUUUUAUUAUUCUAAAACUAUUCUGGUAGAAAAUAUAAAGUAGUUAAGACUCUCAUUUAAAAUAUGGGUAAAUAUAGAAGAAAGAAAAAAAUCUCAACAAUUCUCUAGAACGUUUAAAAAUUACUUAGUUUAAACUAUGAAAAAAAGUAUUAACAAUUCAAUUAAUAUGUACCAGAAAGAGUAGUAGUUAGAGGUGGACAGGGUACAAUAUUAAAAAAAUUAAUUCAAUAAUUUUCAUUUUCAGUUUUAAGAAUGGUAUUUUACAAAAUAAUAAAUCAAUUUACGUAGUUUGUUACUUCAAUUUACUUAUGUUUAUAUAUUAGAUAAUUAUAACUUUGUCUUUUUAAGACAAGUCGCAAUUAUAUUAUACUAAAACUUUACACAUGUAAAAAUAUUCAAAAAAAAGGUAAAAGCAAUUUCUUUUGUUAGUCAAUUACAUAAAAAAUCAAGCGGUCAAAAUUCUAACAUAUAAAUUAUUAGUUCUGUUCUAUUUCAUUUUAUAGUGAAUUUGAUAUAUAUCGUAGCUAAACUAGCCCCUAAUAUUAGUAAUGAUAUAAACAAAAACAUCAAAACAACAAUUACAAACGAAGGCAAAUAUAAAAUCAUUUUAUAUCUGAUUUUAAAAAACACUUAAACAUCUAUAAAUACUUAAUCAUAAAUUCAAUUUUUAAUAUAUUUAAUAUUAACUUGAAACUAUUCUAAAAUAUCAUACCUUUUAAAUCCUGAAUUUUCUCUUAUUAAAAGUUAAUUUGACAAAAUAAUUUUUAGUGACUUUGUAAGUUAAUUCCUACGUAUAAAACUUGAAACGUAAUUAUUGCGGCCAAUUAACUUUUUAGAUGCUGUCUUUUCUCUGAGUAUGAGCCGUUAAAAGACAAUGAUAACAUGUUUAAUUUGAAACCAUUAAUCAUAGUUACAAUUAAUGUGUAUAAAAAAAAUCAAUCACAAGAAUAUAUUCCACCAUGAAAAUAUCAUAUGAUCAUUAUCUCAUGCACUAAUGAAAUGGUGUUUAUUAGUCUAAGCAAAAUACUUUCAUUUAUCCAAAGAUUUUAGCAUGUUAGUUUCACCAUUAAUUGUAUGAAGAAGAGAUAUUGACGUUCAAAUUUCACAAAAAUAUCUAUCUAAUCAUCCUAUUGUAUUCUAUUUUCUUUAAAAUUCAUAAUAACAUUUAAUUUAAUUGAUUAAAAUAAACAAAAAGUAUUCUAUUUCAAGAAGAGUAGACUAGAAUAAUCAAACGUCAUAGUGAAGAAUUUAAUGUUGGUAUUUAUUUAAAAUAAAAUAUAAAUUAGUCAGAGGAAGCAACUCUACUUUGAAAAUAAGAAAGAAAAACAAACUUCUCUUCAAUUUGUACCACGCACGACUUAUCCAAAACAAUACUUUGUAACUAAAAAUAAGGAAAGUAAUCAAUGUUUGUUGUAACUAAUUUGAAGUUUAAUUCAAAUUGAAGCAAUAAUUAUCUUUACAAAUUAUAGAACUAAAAAGGCCUUGCCAAAGUGAUAAAAUUGAGAAUUUAAGAUCCGUACAUGAGAAUGUAGAUAUAGUUUGUGUUUCAUAAUUUAUUUUUUAUUUUUUAUAUAAUUCAAGUAUAGGGAUUAGAUUGGUAAAAUAGAGAGCGCCCAAAUUGUCAUAACCAGAUUGAGUCUUCCCAUAUCUGUAAGGUAGGAGUACAAUAUGUAUACAUUACAUAUUUUUUGAAACUACGUCUAUAAAAUUAUACUAAAAGUAUUAUUAUUAUUAUUAUUAUUUUUGUUGUUAUUGUUGAGUUCUAACUCAAUCAAUGUUUUUCACACAAAACUUGGACAUAUACAUGAAAAUUAUUGUUUUUUUAGUAAAUAUUUAUCUAUGAAUCCAAAAUCUUAAAAGGUGUAAGUAGUUGGACAUUGAUUACAGGUUUAAACCAAAUGGUGCAAAGACCAUGGUGGAGCCUAUUUAGUAGUGUGUGCAAGUUUUUUUUUAAAAUAUUAAUUAUAUGAGGGGCAUGGAGCAAAAUUGAAGCAAUGAUGAAGUCAAACACUAUAUGAUGGUCAACUCUUCUUUUAUUCUUUUCUUCUUCUUUUUUUUUUUUUGCUUUUUUGUUUUGUUUUGGAUUUGAUUGAAGUAUGGUCAUUUUUCUUAUCCACCUCAGGUGUCCACAACAACCAGUAAAAGACAGCAUUAUACUUCCUUAAAUUUCAUUUGGUCUUUUCACACAAAAAGGCAAAAAAAAUUGUACAAAACUCAUAUUUUAGGUAGGGGAGUUUAACUUCUAGUGCAAUGUUUGUUUGUUUUUGUUUUUUCAUAUUUGAUGUUUGAUAUUCACAUUGAAGUUUGACUAAUUUGAAUUUGUGCCACGUAAGGCUCCAUUAGGUGAAAAACGCUAGCUAUCAAGGAUUUCUUCUCAUAUCCAAGACUCGAACUCGAGACUUCUAGUUAAAGAGGAACAACACCAUCCACUGCACCACAUCCUUUGAUUAUUUUGUGCAGAAGUCAUAUUUUAGGUUAUGGAUCAUUAGCUUUCUUCCUAGAUCAUGCAUUUAUAUAAGAAAAAGAUUUAUUAAAUGGACAAAUAUAUUUACCUCGAAAUCCAAUCCACUGGUUCAGUUAUUAAUUAAGUAUUUAAUAUUAACUUGAGAUCAUCGUCUAUAAUUAUAAGCUACUUUGUGUCAUGUUCAUUUUAGGGUUUAAAACAAGCAAAACAAAGAAAACAUAUAAACGUGAGUUACUUGGUGGACCACUCCCUCAAGAUAGAAAAAAAAACUUUUGUCCCAAAAAAAUGGACAUUUUUGUCCAAAACAACCAAACACUUUUUCUAAAGGAAUUGUCUUUUGCCUUUCUUGUAAACUAUCAUUAAAUAUAGUGUGUUUGGUACACAUAAUAUUUUUAUGAAGAAUUAUUUCAUUUUUUUUAUAGUAGAACCUUUUUUUUUAGCAAAAUAGAGAAAAUGUCUUCCCUCACAUAUUUAGGCAGAAUUUACAAGUGCUUAUAUUUUAUUCUUUUCAAACUCUACUGGCGGAAUUACUCUAAGUAAAUUAUUGUUUUUAUAAUCAACACUUAGUAUUAUUACAAAUAUUUAAUACGCAAAACUUCACUAUUACACCAACCUUACAUCAAUAAUCGGAAAUGACAUAAAUUCAAUAUCAAUAUGCAUAGAUUAAAUUAUCAAUGAGAAAUUUCAUGUUAUAAACUAAAUGUUGUACUAUUAGUUAAAUUUUUAUGGUGAGAUUAUUUCAUUAUGUCACCAAAACGACACCUAAUUAAGGACAUAAUUUAUUUUGGGAUUUGAAUAGAUAGUCCUAAUUAUAAUUAUUGAGAGACGAAACCUAAUAUAGCCGUUCUAAUCCCUUCCUACCCAAUACCCAUAAAGGGUUCUAUUAUAUAUGAAGUUUAAAAUUAACAGCAAAUUAAUAGAGUAUAGUAAUUACUUAGGUGAAGAAUUGAUAAUUAUUGGAGGGAGAAGAAUAAUAUUUGCAAGUUAGGUUCCAUACAUGGCCACUGAAAGCGUUUGAUAUAUAUAGAGGUAAAUAAUGAUGGAGUCGGAGUUUUCAUUAAUGAAGAGAUAUAACAAAAAUUACAAUUAUAUCAUUGAAUGCGCUAUCUUAAAAAAAAAUGCAACACCUUAAUAAUGUGUUGAACCUUCUAUCUGUGUCAUAAAAAUGACUUAUCUAUAUAAUAUAAUGUUUAGGUAUGGGUAUCGCUUGACACUCCUCGGGUAGGGGUAUAGCUCCACCCCUGCAUGUAAAUUACCAAACUUGAAUUGUGUGUGAUGGUUGAAGUUCAUUCACCUAUCAGAGGUCUCGAGUUCAAGCUCCUGAAAUAGAAAAAACAUGUUAAAAACAUAGCCCACAAAAUAGAUCUUAUAAUGUGCAAAUUCAAAUUUAGUCCUGAUAAAAUAUAUAUAUAUAUAUAUAUAUAUAUAUUAUCAGGACUAAAUUUGAAUUUGCACAUUAUAAGAUCUAUUUUGUGGGCUAUGUUUUUAACAUGUUUUUUCUAUUUCAGGAGCUUGAACUCGAGACCUCUGAUAGGUGAAUGAACUUCAACCAUCACACACAAUUCAAGUUUGGUAAUUUACAUGCAGGGGUGGAGCUAUACCCCUACCCGAGGAGUGUCAAGCGAUACCCAUACCUAAACAUUAUAUUAUAUAGAUAAGUCAUUUUUAUGACACAGAUAGAAGGUUCAACACAUUAUUAAGGUGUUGCAUUUUUUUUUAAGAUAGCGCAUUCAAUGAUAUAAUUGUAAUUUUUGUUAUAUCUCUUCAUUAAUGAAAACUCCGACUCCAUCAUUAUUUACCUCUAUAUAUAUCAAACGCUUUCAGUGGCCAUGUAUGGAACCUAACUUGCAAAUAUUAUUCUUCUCCCUCCAAUAAUUAUCAAUUCUUCACCUAAGUAAUUACUAUACUCUAUUAAUUUGCUGUUAAUUUUAAACUUCAUAUAUAAUAGAACCCUUUAUGGGUAUUGGGUAGGAAGGGAUUAGAACGGCUAUAUUAGGUUUCGUCUCUCAAUAAUUAUAAUUAGGACUAUCUAUUCAAAUCCAUAUGCCAAUAACACAUAACAGCUUGUAAAUUAUGGUAUUGUCAUGACACCUAUAUAUGACAAUUAUAUAUGGGUGGUUUUAUAUUAGUAUAUAGUUAUUAUUACUAGUUAAAAGGGAGGCAGCAAGUGGUACACCUAAUCACUCAAGCUUUAAGGACUACUUCUUAGAAGCAUAGUGGUAGUUGACGCACAAAUAAUUAUUCGUUGUAAGAGACAUUGAAGCAAAAUAUAAAGGUAGUACGUCACAUCAAAUUAAUAAAUUCGAGAUUACGAAGAUAGGGUUCAAAUCUCAGAAGAAACAAAAUAUUAAAUAUAUUUAAUGAAAUAAUGACUGUAUAAGUAAGUUGAUCGAAAUAUCACAAUUAUCUCAAAAAACAUAAAAACUACAUCUCAUGUAUGGGUGUACAAAAUCGAACCGAAAACUGAAUCAAACCGCAAAUCGAGUCAAACCGAAAAAAAAAUCCGACUAGUGAUUUGUUUUUGUUUUUUGUUUUUUGUUUUUUUUUACUCUCCCUAGGAAGCUCCCACCCCUUUUGCUCCCUUGGUGACUCGAACUCGCAACCUUUAGGUUGGAGGUGAGGGGUGCUUACCAUCCGAGCAACUCCCUCUCGUCUAGUGGUUUGGUUUGACUUGGUUUGGUAUUGAAAAAAAAACCGACUAUAUUUGGGUUGGUUUGGUUUUAACUAAAAAAAAUUAACUCGAGACCAAACCAACCCGACAUUAUAUAUGUAAUUUAAAAUUUUAUUUUAUACAUAAAAAUAUUUACUUUGAUAUAAUUUUAAAAUAUUUCUUAUACUAUUUCAUAGUUUUUAUUUUUUAAUAUAUUAUUUCAAGUUUAAAACUUAGAAUUUGGAAUGGUCCAAUAAAGAUUAUAGNNNNNNNNNNNNNNNNNNNNNNNNNNNNNNNNNNNNNNNNNNNNNNNNNNNNNNNNNNNNNNNNNNNNNNNNNNNNNNNNNNNNNNNNNNNNNNNNNNNNNNNNNNNNNNNNNNNNNNNNNNNNNNNNNNNNNNNNAUGAUCAUUUUCAUUAUGACUUUGCAAUAUUUAUUUAAUAUAAUGAUUUCAUUAUUAUUUUUUAUUGAAUAUUUUUGUGUCAUCAGUACUCAUCUCAUAUUUUGUGUUAUUUUUUUAAGAAACACCUUAGAUAAUUGUAUUUUGGUUGGACUAAAGAAAUAUUUGGAGCACAAGUUAAUUAUAUGUUUGUAUGCAAACUUUACCGGAAAAAUCCAAGGUUUAUUAGUUUGGUUUGAUUUAUAAAUUUUAAAAUUCAACACAAUGGUUUGGUUUGGUAUUUGAAAACCCGAACCAACCCGAGGUUGAAAAACCCAAAAAAAUCUGAAUUUUAUUAGUUUGGUUUGGUUUAUAAAUUUAAAAAAUUUACACAAAUGAUUUGGUUUGAGAUUUGAAAAACCCAAACCAACCCGGUCAUAUACACCCCUAAUCUCAGGAAUCAACUUUUAUAUACAUGAAUUUUAGAUUGCGUGUGUAUAUAUAUUUGUGUGACAAGAGGGAGUUGCUCGGAUGGUAAGCACCCCUCACUUCCAACUCGAAGGUUGCGAGUUCGAGUCACUAAGGGAGCAAAAGGGGUGGGAGCUCCUAGGGAGGGGUUUAAAAAAAAAAAACAAAAAAAAAAGUAUAUAUAUUUGUGUGUAUAGAGAUCGAGAGUGAGUGAGACUAAUUUUUGGAUUCUUUCCCCUUCAUCAUUUGAUUCGUUUGGUUUAUGGACUAAUUAUAAAAUUAUGUAUAAAUGUGUCAAAUAAUCCUUGUUAUAUUUAUAUGUUUUCCCCAAUUUAUUUAGUACUAUUUAUUUUUUUCGUUUGCUCCAUAAUAUUUCACCAAAUGAGCAUCCAAUGAUGUGGUUAAGUGAUUAUAAUAAAAUGAGUUGAGAAUCAUCAAAUCUUCCGAUGGAUCUACGUUUGCAGGUAUGGGUGAUUCAUCAAUAUUUUUAUAACUACUACAAAUUUAACAUGAGCAUCCACCAUCACAAAAAGUCCAAAUGUUGCAGAUUUAUGUUAAAAUAGGAGUCCAGUACCCAUUGCCUUGAAAUCCUAAUUGAUUCAUUACUGAUCGAUGAGGUUUCGAAUUCAAAUUUCAAGAGAGAUAACAUUUAUAUUAGAUGAUUUUGUUCAUUCGUUAAUUAAGUUUUGAUAAGUAAAGUUAUUAUAUAUGUGUUGGUGAAAGAUAAAAUAUACUCCAUAAUAUUGAUUCACCAAAUGAAAAAGAAUACUAUAGUCUAUAUAUAUAGCACUGUGUCCUGGCCUCAGCCUCUCAAGUCUCAACCAAAGAAAGUGAAAAGAGAGAGAUACAUAUAAGCCCCAAUAUUUCAGAUCUGUGACAGAAGAAUUGAAGUAUAGAAUAUUGUCUUUAAAAGGACACCCUUGAACAUGCACCCCAAAAAUAUUUACUUCUAUAAGAAGAGAUGAAAAAGAGAAGCAAACUCUAUGAGUAGCAAAAGGCACACAAAAAAAAAGUGGGUGGAGCGGGAGCCGUAGCAGAUUCAGAACUUUCACUAAAAUUUUAACGUGAAAUCAUAAGAUAUAUUUUAAACCCCUAAAUCGCUAAAACAACUUCUAAUCUUACGUAAUUUGUUACGAAGAGGAUUCAGAUGAACAUCCUCCGCCCCUCAGAUCCAACGGGGGGUGGGGAGAUAGUAGUUACUAGUAUUAAUUAAUUAGUUACUAAUAGUUUCUGGUGUUAUGGACCACAAAAGUGAGAUACGUGAUAUAAUUAGUGUUUGUUAAUUAUACACUUAAAACCUAUAAUAUGUAAUUGCCACUAGCUAAGCUAGUGAUAAGUGUAAAUUAUCUUUUGCAUUAUUUAAUCAAUGAUUGGCAUGAUAAUUAUUUGAGUGGUUUAAUUAAUCCAUAGCACGUGGCUCAUUUGACAGAUGUAAACUACUACUAAACUUUAUGAUUACGGAUUCUUCUUAUUAUUCUUCUACAUAAUUUCUCUAAUUAUAUAUCAUGUUCCUUUUGCUUUUUUCCUUUUGUAAGAUGCCUAAUGGAUAAAGUUGCAGUCCUAGUAAUUUUUUUCAAGAUAAAUAGUAUUUAAUUUGCUUUAAUUUAACAAUAUUUACUAUUAAGUGACGGUCAUUAGUCUAAUCAAUGCAAAUUUGCUUUAUGAUUAUGGUUUUAACAAGUGCAUGACUACUAAAAAUUUUGUUACGCGUACUGCAGAGCCCAUUUGGGGGUGACGCUCCCAAUGGAAUUUUCUUUAUACCUAGAGCUAGAACCCGAGACCUCUGGUUAAGGGUGAAACAGUCCCACCACUGUAUCACAACCCGUGUUGGUGAAUUUAAGAGUCUUUGAUAACUUAUAAAACAAUGUAAACAAAUUAAGUAUUUUUUUAAGAGCGAUGUGAUAUUACUAAUACUAGUUCGGAUCUUACUAAUAACACGCUUUUAGACGAUUGGCGUGCAUAAUCAAAUUCGUUAGCUCAUAAUUAAUAUGUUGUAACAACUCUAAUUAAUGAUGAUUAGUUAUUUCUCUACUAAUUUUUUUUUAUAAAUAUACUUUCCAACUAUACUAUAGAAUAUAAAAUCAAAGUUAUGAAAUGGUCAGUAGUAAACGGACAACAAAGGCAUAAUGUGCACGGAAUCUCCUUUUAAUUUGCAAUUACCUAAUAUAUUUCUUGCUUUUCAACUUUCAAGUUAGGCACCCAAUCUCUGUUUGUUACAUUGCCUUUUAAUUUUCCCAUCGACUAAUUGCUACUCAAAAUUUUGUGUUACCUAAAUUUUAGUGUUCUCACUUCAAUGUACCUAGAGACAGAAUUAAAAUUUCAAACUUUAUGAGUUUUGAAUUUUAGAAAUGACGAUUUCAACUUUAUCUGUUUAGUUUGAUUUUAUGUAUUACCAAUUCGGUUAAUAAAUUUAUAAACAUUAAAUCAAUAUUUUUUCAUAUCGCUUUUUGAUUAAUCUAUUAGCUGACGUUAAUGAUUCUCUAUUUUCGUUUUAGCCUAUAAGAAAUAUUAUUCUAAAAAUAAUUAUAUCUCUUAUUUUUAUUUGUUGUUCAUAUCUCUAAAUAAUAAGUAAUUUAAUAUAUAUAUAUAUAUAUAUAUAUAAUAUAUAAACACAAAAUAUUUUCAAAAAUAUUUAUAUAUAAGUUGAACAACAAUCAUGUGUUUGAUAACACCACCCUAACGGGAUCCCAGUUUGUUGCAGAAGAGCCAAAUCAUAGUGCACUUUCUGCUAGUGGUUAGACUACAUUUAAAAUUAAUUAUUCAAAUACUUUAAAUAUUUUCGUCCUUAUUAGAAAUAUUGAUAUUUUAUUUUUAUUUUUAAAUUUUAUUCAUAAUAGUAAUUAUUCUUCAACAUUAUAAAAAUCUUAAAUAUGGGAAAUGACAUACAAACAAAGUAAAUAUUUAAUUAAAAAAUUGUAUUUUAAGACAUAAAUACAAAUAUCUUAAUUAAUAUUUUUUAAAUGUAAAUAUAAACAUGACAAGUAUUUUCAAAUGUUUGUUUUCCUUCCUUACCUACCAAAGCAAAGCUGUUCACAUACUUUUUUCACUUUAAAUUAAUACUUCACAGUGGAAGAUAUACGUAUUGAAAAUUAAAAUGAAUAUUUGGAAGUAAUAAAAUAUUGUAUUAAACUUGUGGUUUCAAUUAAUUAUUUAAAUGGCCUAUGUACUACUGCCAAACUAACAGAAUAAAUAGGUGCAUAAGUCAUUUUCUUGCCAGAGGGACUCAAAAAUCAUUUUUAUCGGAAUUAAAAAAAAAUUGGAAAAGAGCUAGAGAGACUUGAAUUUAAUUUUAUUUAUUUCAUUUUCCCUUUUUUUUUGUUUUUGUUGAAAAAAAUAAUAUUUCAAAUGUCAAAUAUAGACACGUCACUGUUUAAUUUUCAAAAUGUCAACCAUUGUUGUGUUAAAAUUAAUACUAGCAAUCGUCUUUGUUUCUUCUUCUUAAUUUUAAAGAAUAAAGAAUAUCAAAUGUCUAUUUCGCGUAAGCUUUAUAAUUAAUUGAUUAAUUAAUAAAUAAAACAACGUCAAAAUAAGCAGCUAAAUAUGACAAAGAAUAAAGAAGAUUGCAGAUAUUUUUAAAGACAAAUUCUUUAUGGAGGUCCAUUAAUAUCCAUGUGAAUAUUUCCAAGAGUGUAUCGACUUAUGAUUAAUAUUAUUUUCACUAAAUUAAUGUUCUCUUGUAAGUAUAAAACUUUCUUGAAAGAUUUUAGCAUUUAGAAAAAUGUAAUGAGUUGUUAACUGAGUGACAAAUCAUCGGUCUAAUUAUUAAAAAUAUAAAAUAGAGUUUAUUAAGUUGUAUACAAAAUUUUAAUUUGGUCAAUUUAAAUCAUCGUUAAAAACUAAGUAUGUUAGAAGACAAAAGCUCAAAGAAAACAUAAGCAUGAUUACAAGUUUUGAUAUUUGAUUAAAUUCAAUAACUCAAAUAUGUUGACCACGUCUUUCCAAAAUAAAGUUAUUUCGCUAUAUUAAAAAUAAAUUUCACUCUUGUUUAUUUUAUUCUUAAUGCCCUUUUUCCUACUAAAAUUAUUGUCCUAAAUACACUUUUUGAAUUUAACUUCAAUUAUUGUUUUUUUUUUCAACUUCAACUACAUAUGGUCCAAAUUAAAUGUCUACUUCAGCAUAUUAUAAAUUUCAAAACCCUAGCACACCAAACUCCAAAUUUUGGUCUAAGUCUAAGAGAUGGGUUCCUCAAUCACAAGUUUGGUAGUUUGUGAAGAAAAUGACAUACCUAACAGAUACCAAGACUUUGGUUAAUUUCAUAUUCCUUAAUUUUCAAACAUAGAGUUAAUCAUAAUUCAUAUGUCAAUAUCAUUGUUAUUGUUUCAACCUCUAUAAGAGGAAAAUUGUCUCUAAUACAACGAAUUUUUGUGUACUAAAAUAUCUCAUGAAGAUCAAAAGGUCAUAUAGCUACAAUAAUAUGUGUAAUGACUGUUUGAGGUUUAAUAUCUUUGCAUAAAAAUAAAAAAUCCUACCUAAUGUAGGAGAAUUCCACGUCGAAUGAAAAAUGGAUGGGAGGUUGAAUUAGCUAGACCCAAAAUUCAUUCCAAUAUUGUUACCGAUGAUGUUAAGCCCCCUUAUUGAAUUGUCCACACAUCAGAUGUCCAAUCUUGAACUGAAGUAGGGUGUUGAAGAGUCUCACAUUGAAUGAAAAAAGGAUGGAUAAUCUCCUCGUAUGACUAGUUCGAAGUUGUGUUAGGCCCAAAAUCCAUUUCACUCAUUAUAAUAAUAUUUCGUUAAACGAUGUUCAACUGACCACAGGUUGUGUUGUUAUGAGUCAUUUAAAAGGAUUUUUUGUUGGACAGAAUAUUGAUAUAUUUUCGACAAAGAUUAAUAACAUAACCUAAUUUUGUGGGAGUACGAAGUUGGUGAGGACAUUCACAUACCCAUUGGUCCCAUCCAUUUUUGGGCCAGAAGGAUAUUUAGAUGAAAGAAACUGAAAAGGACAGCCCAAGCCCACAUUGGUUAUGUUGUUACCCCCACCAGAUAUAUAUUUGACAAUUCAUUAAUACUAUAUGAAAUAUUUUCGUACUUUUUCUGUUCAUAUUUGUAUAAAAAUUGACAGCGCUAUAAAUUCAUCAGAGAACAAUCGUCCAACGACUUGUCGUGAAUUACGUUGCGCGGAGUAAAAAUUGACAAAUUUUUCUAGCAUGUUAUGAUUUUUUAUCCAUUCUGAAAAGUAAUAACAAAAUAGUCAUAUUUUAACGUAAAGAAAUAUAAUCAGCUAAAAAUAACUCUCAAUUCAAAUUUUGGAAAAACUUAUACAGAUUAUAUGUUUCUUGGUUUCAAGAUUGUAAAGGCUUGAAACUGUAAAUUAAUCCUUGGUUUUGAAACUCUAGCAAAUUUUCAAAACUCAUGAUAUAUUCCUUGGUCUUAAACUUAUAUAGGUUUGAAACUUGUGAAUUCUUCUUUAAUUUUGAAACUCAUAACAAAUUUUUGAAAACAAUUAUGUGUAUAAGAUUUGGACUAGCUAGGAGUGUAAAUUAGCACAUAAAAACAUGACUCGUGCAAUCCGCCAGAUGUGUCUUACCAAUUUCAGCCCCCACAUAAAGCAUGUCUUAACACAUUUCUGCCCAUCUAAAUGUGGGCUAAUAUUUAACUUAAAUUGAUCCAUACAAACCUUACUAGUAAAAUAUUUUGAUUUUCUUUUUUGGAGGGGAAAGGGGGUAAAUGUAUUUUUUGGGGGGAAGGGGGUAAAUAUUAUUUAUAGCCAUAAUAAAGGGGGUAAAUAGUUAUAUUAAAUAAUUAAAAAUUAUAAGAGAACAAACAAAGAAAUUAAAACAUAUUAAGAAAUGAAUGGUCGUAUCAUUAAACCAUCCCUUUAUUAACUUAAUUCAUUUUAAUCCGUCCAAAUCUGAUCCAAACUUUCUAUGCGAAACCACUAAUUUGUACCCCAUAAAUCCUUUCUUGGUUUUAAGCCUUGUGAGGUUUUUUGUCCCGCAUUUUAGUUGAUAUUUUUGUCAAAAACCAAAUUUGAGACAAAAAAUGGCUAAAUGUUAAAUAGUUUUUACAAUACUAUUUGAUAGACGUUAAAAUUGGCCAUUUUCCCAUUUCGUCCGUUGCGUGGUAAUAUGGGAUUUUGACAUGUUAUUGUAGGCAAGAAAAGCCCAAAAAAUAAGCCCACGUAUAUGCACUGCAAAUUCGAGUGGAGGCCCAACUUUUAGUCAUAUAUACUAUUUAAAUAAAUUUUACACAUAAUUUUAUGUUUGGGGAAACUAAGCAAAUACCCCAUAAAUGUAAAAUAAUACAAACAUAUACCCCUUUAUAUUCAUACCCCACUAAAUAAUUACAUUAUAUACCCCAAACUAAUUUUGUUUAACUUAUACUAAAUAAAUACCGUAUAUUGCAUUGAUAUCAUUAAUGCUGAUAAUUUUUCUUAAUUGAUACUAAAUCAGUACAUAUAAAUUGUAUUAGUAUCAUUAAGGUUUAUACUCUUAUAGGAUCAUUGACUAAUGAGUAAUUUAUGAACAAGAAACCUUAAUGAUACUAUAUAUAUACUCUUAUAUAUAGUAUAUAAGAGUAUAUAUAUAGUAUCAUUGACUAAUGAGUAAUUUCUGAACAAGAAAUCUUAAUGAUACCACAACUAUAUACAUAUACUCUUAUAAUAUCAUUAACUAAUGAAUAAUUUCCAAACAAGAAAUCUUAAUGAUACCACAACAAUAUACAUAUACUCUUAUAGUAUCAUUGACUAAUGAGUAAUUUAUAAAAAAGAAACAUUUAAUGAUAACAAUACAAUAUAUAUAUACCAAUUUAGUAUCAGUUAAGUGAAAUUGUCAGUUUUAAUGAUACCAAUACGAUAUAUGAUGUUGAUUAAGUAUCAGUUCAACAAAAAUUAUCAGCCUUAAUGAAGGGGGUAUGGGCUGUAAUUAUUUAUGAGAGAAUGGGUAUUUCUUGAAUAACUUUGGAUUUAGGGAUGACAAUGGGGCGGUGCGGGGUAGGGUGGGUUGGGUUGAGCUUAACCCGUAAAAAUUUUAACCCGCUCCGCAUAAUUUUUUUUUAAUUAUUUAUUUUUCUAGUUAAGUUUGGUACUAAAAAUAAAAUUCAUAAAAAUAAAUUCAUUUUUUCAUUAAGUUGUAUUAAUUUAAUAGGAUAGUAACUUAAAUUUUAUUUUUUAGAGGUCAAUUGGAAAACAUGUAAGAAAUUGAAUUAUUUUUAUUGAACAUUUUCAUUUACUAUCUUGAAUAUUUUAGUAGCUUUAAGGAAUUUACCUUAAUAAAUGAUGCUCAAUCACUUUUAUAACAUGUAAAAAAUUAAAAUUAAGUUUAAACUCACAUACAAUCACAUAUACCCGCAACCCUCCCUGCCCCGCAUUAGUUUUAAAUAAACCCACUUCAAUCCGCCCCGCACAACCUUAAACCUGCUCUGCGCCGCAUAGCCUUAAACCCACUCCACCCUGCAUCCGAUCCCGCCCCACUGCCAUCCCUAUUUGGAUUUGAAUAUGAAUAUGUAAUUAUUUUGAAUUUUAUGGCCCAUUUAUAUAGUUUUCUAUAAAUUUUCGAGAAAAUACAUAAUUACCCCGUCGAAUUUAUACCCUUUUUUGAAGUAGACACUUUAAGUUCGUGAAAGUCCUAUUACCCCACGAAAUUAUUUUCAACCACAAUAAAUACACUAUUUUAACAUCAUCUGCAAUCUCAUGGCCAGCGAGUGUCUCACCUCCAAUUAAAAUAAUGUAACUGUAUUUUUUCUUGGCUCUUUAAUAAAGGGUUGGGUAAAACCCAGACUCGUUCAAAAUCUUGACUAAUUCCCCUUUUUAUCUUAAAUAUUUUGUACAUAAAUCACGAUGACUAGAAAAUUUUAGAAACUCCAUUGCAGAUGUUUGUAUAACUUUUACAGUGGCUGAUAGAAAAAGCUUCAUCAUUGGAGAAUUUCAUAGUGACGACUCAAAUGGCAUCUUUUUUGUUUAUGGGUACACAAGAAUGUGAUCAAGUUAAGUAAACAAUACAGGCUCAAUAUGAUUAAAACCCUCUUCGAAGAAGCAGGAAACAAACGGAUGCAUCUCAUGUCCUUCAUCGAUCUAUCUGUUAUCGAACCCUAAAUGGUACGAACGUGCAUUAGUCUUUGCAGUCCAAGGUGUAUUCUUCAACUCAUUCAGAUUUGACGUCCCCAAAUUAGCUUAUCAAAUUGUUGGGUACUUAGAGAAAGAAACAAUGAAUUUGUAAACAGAGUAUUUUGGUUGUUAAAGAAAAGGGACUUUUCGAGAACUCGCCAACUCCAAAAGUUCAUUUGGCAUCUCGCAUUUAUAGAUCGAACUAUUGAAUUGAGAGAAGAGAAUUUUUUUUGGCUAAACAUGGAGGGCUCUUCAAUGGCAAUCAGGAGGUUUGUGGAAGAUGGAAAAUGGUCUAUUUAAUAAAGAAAAUAAUUUUUUUAAUUGGUAUGCCACAUGGCACUAAAACAUUGUCUUAUGGAUUAAUUUCUACUCCUUCACACGCUCUCGAAUUUGAGAUUGCACAUGCUCUGAAAAUGGGUUAAAAUGGUGUAUUUAUCAUGGUUAAAAAUAGUUUCGUGGGGUAAUAGGACCCCCGCAAACUUAAGGUGUCUACUUCAAAAAAAAAGUAUAAGUUCGAUGGGGUAACUAUGAAUUUCCUCUAAAUUUUCCUUUAUAUUUCGCGUCAAAAGUUAUGAAUUCAAUUUGAACUCUUUUAAUUAUUUCUAAACACGCCUUUUAGAGGACAAAAGAAAACAAUCCAAAAUAUACCGUAUUACAAGUUCAAACCAUUGGAUUUAAGUCUCAUCUCGAUUUUUCUUUUAACUAUGUGAUUCUUUUUUAGCAAAUCGCCAAGAUGAUGUUUGCAAGGUCAUUUUCUUUUAUUUAAAUUGUAUAAAGAAAAAAUUACUUAGAUGGGUAUCUUUUAAUAAAUAAUUACUUAUUUUAGCGAUACUUUUUAUUCAUUAUCAUUUAUAGCAAUACUAUAUUAAAUCUGUAAUAUGUAUUAAAAGUGAAUUAUGUAUGCAAUAUAUAUGUAUUAUAACUAUAUUUUUUUAAAAUAUAUUAUGUUUGUUUGGCAAGAAAUUGACACAUUAUAUUAUAAGUGUAUUAAAAUGUGUGUUAAAUGUAUGAUAUAUCAAUAAAACUUGUAUUAUAUGUGAAUAAUAAAUUGUUCUUUGUAAUAUGUAUUAAAACUAAGCGUGGCAACGGGACAGGAACCGGUAAUUUCGGAAAAAAAUAUGCAUACCCGUCCCGGGACCGGAAACCGGGUCCCAACCGCUAUAUUUUUUAAAAAAAAAUUAAAAUUAAAAAAUUAGUAACAUUACUCAAAUAAUAGUAAAACUUUUAUAAUUUUAAAGUUAAAAAUUUAUACUUUUAAAGUUUUAAGUAUAAACUUUCAAACUACUUUCAAACUUUAAAAGUGCAUGUGCCAAGUCAUGGUUCACCAUUAUUUCACGUGUUUUGGCUUCAAUUCCCUUAUCCCCCUUAUAAUUCUUCCAUUCAUCAUCCAUGACCAUUUUCUCCAAAGAAGAUUUCACUUUGCGAAUUCGGGUGAUCAUAAUGGUGUGUGAGGCAAAUCUUGUUUCACCAACCUUCAACAAACACAAAUCCGAAUAUUUUUGAAAAAGUGCAUGUGCCAAGUCAUGGUUCACAACAAAGUUCUUCAAAUUACUCACUUCACUAAGUAACUCUAAAAUCCAUUUACAACUAGUAAAGUGAGGUGAUUUUUCCGAAGGUUGGCACAUACUUUUCAAAGCUAGAUUCAAACAAUGAACAACACAAGGAGUCCAAAAUAUAUGAGGAUAUUUUUGCUCCACAAUAGUACCGGCAAGUUUCAUAUUACUUGCAUUAUCCGUAAUAACUUGAACAACAUUGUUUGAACCUACAUUUUCUAUUGCUUCAAUAAAUAAGUUAGCAAUAUAUUCACCAUCUUUUACGAUUCCACUAGAAUUGAUUGAAUUUAAAAACAUUGGACCUCCACUAGAUGAUGCCAUUAUAUUGAUCAAAGGUCGUCUUUUAGUAUCGGUCCAUCCAUCCGAACAAAUCGACAAUCCUUUCUUUUUCCAUGUACCUUUAAUUGGUUGCAACUUUCUAUCAAUAUGUGUUUUUUCUUGAGCUAAAAGAGUUGUCCUCAAUCUAUUAUAUGAUGGGGGAAUAUAACCGGGAAUGGAAUUUUCGGCUAGAAACUUAGAAUAUUUUUUAAAAUAAGGAGAGUUUGCAAAGUUGAACGAUAAACCUGAUGCGUAGAACAUCCUAGCGGCUAAUUUGUCGGCCGUAUUUCUCUCAUAGAUGCCGAAUGAUUUUCCUAUAGCUCCACUACUCGAACUCUUUCUCUUUUUUUGUUGAAUUAAAUCAGUCCCCUCCGGAAGUGAUAUAUAAUCAGCUUUGUUUCUUGCAUCAACUUGAACAACGGUUCUUUUUCUUUCGGCUUGUUCAUGCUCCAUCUUCAAAGUCGCAUAUAUAUCACCACUACUUUCUUUACAUAUUUGAACACCAUGACCCGAUAAUCUCAAAAGAUGUGCUUUCACCCUAUUAUAUGAUCCCGUAACUAUUUUAUUGCCAUAGUUACAAGACCAUGCUAUAUUCCCACCCCCAUCUGGAGCAAUCAAAAUAACUUUCACAUGAUUCCAUAGAGGUUUAUCAUCAAAAUCUACUCCUACACUUUUUGUAGGUCUCAUAAAAUAUUUUCCUUUUUGACUACUUGAUGACAUCUUGUUAAACAAAGGAAAAUGAAUUUUUUUUUGGUUUACAGUGAACUUGAAUGAAAAAUCAAAGAAGAAACUACUCUACUGGAAAAUGAAAUUUUUUUUGGUUUUAGGAGGGAAAAGUUGGUGACAAUGGAAAGAUUUUUGGACUAAGUUGAUGGCUGAUGGGAUGUCAUCUUUUUUAUGUUACUCUACUUGGAAGACUUUUUGAGCUUUUCUUUUUUUCAAGAGGAGUGUAUGUAUUGUGUACAUAUAUUUUUACUAUUUUAAUUUGAAUUGUUUUUAUAGUUCUAAUAGAAAUAAAAUUAUUUUAUCUAAUUUUAAUUUAUGUGAGAUCGUUUGGAUAGAAUGUUUUUAUCUAGCGAGACAUGAUCCUCGAUCUGGAUAUGAUAUAUAUAUAUUUCUAGUAUUUCGAUAGUUCGAAGCUUAUAAUGAUAGAAAGAAUCAAAAGAUCUAGUAAAACGGGAUCCUUAAAGCGCUUGUAUUGAUAUGAAGAAUUAAGUGAUCUAGCGAGACAUGAUCCUUGAUCUGGAUAUGAUAUUGUGCGUGAAACUAUAUAUAUAUAUAUUUUUUCUAGUAUUUUGAUAGUUCGAAGCUUGUAUUGAUAGAAAGAAUCAAAAAAUAUAGUAAGACGGGAUCCUUAAAGCGCUUGUAUUGAUAUGAAGAAUUAAGUGAUCUAGCGAGACAUGAUCCUUGAUCUGGAUAUGAUAUUGUGCGUGAAACUAUAUAUAUAUAUAUUUUUUCUAGUAUUUUGAUAGUUCGAAGUUUAUAUUGAUUGAAAGAAUCAAAAGAUUUAGUAAGACGGGAUCCUUGAUGCGCUUGUAUUGAUAGGAAGAAUUAAGUGAUCUAGAGAGACAUGAUCCUUGAUCUGGAUAUGAUAUUGUGUGUGAAACUAUAUCGUCUUUUUUUCUAGUAUUUUGAUAGUUCGAAGUUUGUAUUGAUUGAAAGAAUCAAAAGAUUUAGUAAGACGGGAUCCUUAAAGCGCUUGUAUUGAUAGGAAGAAUUAAGUGAUCUAGCGAGACAUGAUCCUUGAUCUGGAUAUGAUAUUGUGCGUGAAACUAUACAUAUUUCUAGUAUUUCGAUAGUUUGAAGCUUGUAAUGAUAGAAAGAAUCAAAAGAUCUAGUAAGACGGGAUCCUUAAAGCGCUUGUAUUGAUAGGAAGAAUUAAGUGAUCUAGCGAGACAUGAUCCUUGAUCUGGAUAUGAUAUUGUGCGUGAAACUUGAUUUGGUUUGGUUUGAUUUUUCUCUUUUAUAUUUGAAUUUUUUCGGUUCGAUUAUUUGGUUAUGUCAUAAUUAGAAACAUAAUCAAAGUUAUAUUUGCAAUUUUAUAUAUAUAUAUAAUUUGGUUUUUUUCGAUUUCUCCCUUCUUUUUUCUAGAAUCCGAAACCAAAACAAGAAAUCAAUCAAUAUAAAUAUUAAUCCAAAAUUAAAUAAAAAAAUUAAUCCAAAUUAGAAUUCGAUUCAAAUUUAAUGUAAAUUAUUAGCAUGUAUUUAAAAAUAUUUACAUAAUAAUAGUAAUAUUAAUCAGUAAUUAAUUCAUGCAAGUAAAUAUUUACACAUAAAGCACCUUUCAAAUAAAAAUCUCUAUAAUAUUGUUAGAUCCCAUUUUUCAAUCCAACUCGUCCUAUUUAUAUGGACAAAAUAUUUAUCUUUCAAAAUAUUGUUCCCUUCUCUCCUUUUCUAACGUCUCUUUUCCUAUUUUUGGACUAGUUGAUGGCUGAUGGGAUGUCAUCUUUUUUAUGUUACUCUACUUGGAAGACUUUUUGAGUGUAUGUAUUGUGUACAUAUAUUUUCAAGAAAGAUAAAAAAAAAAACUCUGUAUUUCCUUUACUUUUUCAAGAAAAAACUCUUCUUUCUUCUCUUCUCUGUACUUUUUCAACUUUGUCCUCUUUACAUCGCCGUCACCGGAAAUUGAUUUUUUCUUCCCCAAAUCUUUUCUCGGCUUCGGUCAAAGUGUCCCAAGUUGAUAAAGUAUAUAAGUUCUUUUUAAAAAAAAUAAUAAUUAAAAAUAAAAUAAAAAUAUGCAGUUGUAACGUGUUAGAUUCCAUUUUUUGUGGAAAGAGAAAUUUAAUUACCUUUACGUAACCUUUUUAUUUAAUACUCUACGAUUAAAUAAUAACUUAAAUAUGGUGAUUAACGUUUGUGUGUGUUUGAUGCCCUUUUUUUGUGAAAAAUAUUUUAAAUUAGUUAAACUUUAUUAUUUAAAAUUAUCAUCUAAUAAAUCCUUAAAUUAUAAACCCCUGUAAAUUUCUUUCAAAAUUGAUCAUUUAAAUAAUAUUUAAUAUUUUAAGUUUUAUAUCAGAUUUUUUCUUAUUUACAUUUUAAAAUAAAUAUUUUUUUUUAGAAAAUUAAAAAAUUCAACCAAUAAUAACAAUAACAACAACAACAACAACAAUAAUAAUAAUAAUAUAAAAACACAUCACCUAAAUAGGGCGUUUUAAUAUUCCUUUUUUAAAAAUAAAUAAAUAAAGUAAUUAUCCAACUAAAUAGGGAGUUUUUUAAAAAUUAAAACUUCUCAUUUUUAGUCCUACUUAUAAACAAAUUGAAAAAAAAUUAAAAUUAAAAUUAUUUAAAUUAUUUCUCUAAAAAAACAUACUAACUAAACAAUCUGUUUAGUUUACGUGAAAAUUUCUUCUUUGUUUUAUUUUCUUAAAAUUAUUUUUAUUCUGACAAUUAAAAUUUAAUAAAAAUAAUAAUAAUAAUAAUAACAACAACAACAAUUAUAAUAAUAAUAUAAAAAACAUCCACCUAAAUAGGACGUUUUGAUCGUUAUCUUGAAAAAAAAAAGUAAUUAUCCAACUAGAUAGGGAGUUUUAAUAUUUUCCCAUUACACUCCUACUUCUAAACAAAUUGAAAAACUUUUAAUUAAAAUUAUUUCUUUAAAAAAAUGUACUAACUAUUGUUUAGUUUACGUUAACUAAAUAUCUUAUUUGCUUUUAUUUCUAAAAUUAAAAUUUUAUUUUGACAAUUAAAAUUUUAAAAUUCAAAAACUGAAUGCUAAACAAUUAAAUAAGAAAUAUGAAGUUAAAUUUUUUUAGAUAUCUCCAUCAUUAUUUUAAAAUUUUAAAAUUGAUUGUCAAAAAAUUAAAUAAGAAAUAUCUAUCUAUAUAUAUAUAUAUAUAUAUAUUAUUUCCAACUGAUUUUUUUUUUCUAACGUCUCUUUUCCUAUUAAGUUGGUGAGAAUGAAAAAGAUUUUGGACUAGUUGAUGGCUGAUGGGAUGUUUCUUUUUCUGACACUACUCUACUUGGAAGACUUUUUAUCUUUCUUUUUUUCAAGGGUAUAUGUAUUGUGUACAUAUAUUUUCAAGAAAGAUUAAAAAAAAGAUUCUCUAUUUCCUUUACUUUUUGAAGAAAAAACUCUUCUUUCUUCUCUUCUCUUUACUUUUUCAAUUUUGUCUUCUUUACGUCGCGUCGCCCUCGCCGGAAACUGAUUUUCUCUUCUUUCUUCUAUUUUCUGUACUUUUUCAAGCUUUGUACUCUUUACGUCGCCGAAAACUGAUUUUUUCUUCCCCAAAUCUUUUCUCGGCUUCCAUCAAAGUGUCCGGAUCGGAUUGACCGAAUCCGACACGCACCCCGCACCCGCACCCGCACCUGUGUUGCAUCGAGACGGAUUCGCCUGCAAAUAUGAAGAGUCCGCACAACAUAGUCGGGAGCAGGACAACGAAAGGGAGCAGGAGCCGAGGAAGAGGGACUGAGAGUGGGAGUAGUAGCCGUAAUUGGCUCAGUUUCAUCAUCAUUAUAUUCAUCAACAUUAUUAUCAAAAGUAUUAAUAUAAUCAUUAACAUCAUCAUGUUCAUCAUCUUCAGGUAAUUCCUCAUCAAAAUUACCAAACAUUCUUUGUAAUUGUUCAUGAUAAGGAUCUAAUCCACUAUUACUAUAAAUAUUAAAAACAGUUUCAUUAACAUGCAUAUAAUCAUCCGUAUUUAUUCUUAAUUGAGUAAGUUUUGUUAGUUUUAGAUUUAGAAGUACUACCGAUUUUUUAUUUUUCUUGGAUUUUGAGGUAGAUAAAUUAGUGAACGAAUUAACUAUGGUUGUUGUACCCUUUCAAUAAUGUUUUUACCGAAAUCCAUAUUCAAAUAUAAAAAGUGAGUAAAAUUAUAUAUUAUACGAAAAUGUAAUGCAAAGUUUUAAACAAAUAAAUAACUAAAUAAGUAGAGACUAGAGACUAAUUACUCACAAAAUAAAUAAUUAAAUGCAAACAAAUAAAUAACUAAAUGAAAAGUGAGUUGGAACGAAUGUACCAAACGUCUACUUAAAAAAGUAGAUGUGUAUGCCGAAAAUUGAAAGUUGAAUUUUGAAGCUCCAAUUUCCAAAGAUCAAAUUCGUAAAUUUAAUGUUAAUGAGAGAUUAGAGAGUGAGACUUUUGAGAAUUGUUGAGAGAGUAGAAGAUAAUAUUUUUGUGAGUGAAAAGAAUGAAGGAUUUGGGGUAUUUAUAGUUAAAAAAAAGGAUGAAAAUGUAGUUUUUAGAAGGUUGGGGUGUUAAAAAAUGUUUGAGGGGGUAGGGGGUGUUUUGGGGAGUUGUGGGGGUGAAAGAGCUGUUGUGGGCCCCAAAAGACGUUGGCCAACGGCUCCUACAACGACUAAUUGCAAUUUUUUUUUUAAAAUGGACCGGAACCAGGACUAACCGGUAAAUCCCGGUUUCUGUCCCGUUACCCCUCCUGGACCCGCUACUAACCGGACCUAACCGGUACAAGCCGGAAUCGAGACGGAAUCGGUAACGGACCGGAACCAGAACCGGCACCUCCCGAUUCCGUUGCCAGACUUAAUUAAAACUAUAUUAUAAAUGUAUUAAAACUGAUCAAAUGAAGAAUUUUUAUUUUAUUUUUUAUCAUAGUAUAUUUAUAUAAGUUUCCCUAAUAAUAACGUGUACUCGAUAUGGUGCAUGUUCAUCUUACCAAUGAGAGGCCCAACUACAAAAUUGGAAGAAGGCAAUACUCAUAUUUUAGAAGUUCUUUGUGGGCUAUUCAGAUGAGUGGUGAUACAAGACCACACAAUAUUGUUGAUGGAUCACUAGGACCAUUGAGCCCAAAUUAAAAUUUGGGCCACUUCGUUCCAAAUUAGAUAAAAUAGUCAAAUACCUAGUCUUUAUAUUAUUAAAAAACAAGAAUUUGUCAAGAAGUUAAAAUAAAUUAUUAUUUGGUCAUUCUUCAAUAAAAAAUAAAUUUGGACAAUAACAAAGCUAAAACACAGAAAAAUUAUUUUUGGUAAAGUUUUGAACUGUGAUUAAUCAAAAUUCAGGAAAAAAAUUAGUGGAAUUUGAGAAAUGAGUGUUAGUCGAAAUUUUCUUUUUCCUGAUGACUUUAUCAUUUUUUCAUGAACUCCAAUUUAGUUAUUGGCAUUGAUAAGUUCCCAAAAGCAAAAUAAAUAAAUUAUUACAUGUUCCAUAAUCAUUUUCACUGUUUAAUUAUCAUCAUUUAUCUACUAUUUACUCUGUUUUAGUAUACACCUAUAAAUAACAUAUACAAAAUUAUAAGAGAUAUUUAAUACAUUCGUAUAUAUAAAAUAAUAUAUACUAUCAUACAACAAAUAAACUUUGUCCUCUUUCUUGAAUUCAAAAUAAGAUUCAUUCGAAAACAUCUCAAAACUAAAUCAGAUCACCUAAAAUUUCAUAUUCAAGCUCAACAAUACAUAAUCAUUUUUUUGCAAUAAUAUCCACUUGUAACAAAGUUUAUUUGAAAAAAUGUGGUGUAAAGAUUUGUUGUUUGUUGGUUGUUAAAACAAAUAUGGGACCCACAUUCCACUUGUCCAUCAAAGAAUGGGACUCACGCGUUGUGCAAUUGGACAUGAUGAUGACACAUCAGGACCACCCAUUCUCCCCCUUUAAUUAUUGUACUACGAUUUUUAUUAUUUUGUGUAGAAGGUACUAGGAUAUUUAAUGUAUGAAUGGAUUUAUGUAGAUAUUAACAAUCUAGAGAUAAUUAUAAAAAAAUAUAUAUUUUAUUUUAUAUAAAUAUUAGUUAAAUUUUCUGAGGGAGUUGUAUCACCCAAAUUAAAUUUUAUUAGAUUGAUUAUAAAAUUUUAAAAAUUAAAGCAGAGAUUUGAAAUUUAUAUAAAAUAAAUAAAUAAUGAAUUGAAUCAAAUAGGUUUAUUUAACAAAUAACACAUUCAAUUAACUCACAAAUAUCAUGUGGUGAUAUUUUUUUUUUUUAAUUAGUAAAUAUUAAUCAAAUCACAUUUCAAAUAUUGUAUUAAUUUAUACUGAAUUUAUGUAACAACAAACAACUUAUGUUAAGUACACUUUCUGGAUACUCCUAUAAACGGUGCAUUAUUAUUAUUUAGUAAGAUAUAAGGCAUUAUUAUCAUUAAAAAAUAUUUCUGAAUCACUUUAAUUUGAAUACAUAAAUAGUAAACUCUGCGUUCAAAAUUCUAAUUAUUCAUUAUAUUCACCUAUAAUACACGAUUAUAUUUAGAAAUAGAGUUAUCAAAUGAGUGAAUUUCUCUGAAUAAAUAAAUAAAACUAGAUUAAGUUAAAAAUGAACAUAGUAAUAAAUCGUCUAAAUAUAAGUAGUUUAUUUUUUUAGAAAAAUACUUCUAAUUUUUUUUUUUACCAACCAAUAAUAACAAAUUCACUCAUAAAAGGAAUUUGAAGUAACAGAGAAUUAACCAAUAAAAAAUAAAAAAUUAAGCUACUGUUAAUGGCAAGUAUGUAUUAAGCCAAAAUAUGAGGGAUUAGAGAAGUAAUUGAGCCCUUUAAAAAAGAUUUAAGUAUUAAUUAGUGUCGAGAAUACGUAGGAGUAGGUAUAUACCAGGUCAAGAAAUUGUGACUUUGGUGGGACCCAGCUGUACAUCAUAAAUAUCUUUAGAUUUGGAUCCUGAUUUUUUUUUAUAGGCAAUGCCGUGCAAAAAAUAUCUAGGACCUUCAAACUCACGUUUAACCAUAGUUUAGUCACCAAAAGUUUAUCUACUAACGGCGCAAACGGCACUAGUAUAUCCCCAUAUAAUAUUCCACCCUAUGUCUCAAAGAUUUCUUAACUAGUCCCUUUCCUAUCUUUUUCUUAUUUUUUGGUCCCUAUUUUUUUUUUCUAACCAUUUUUUUGAACAUACAUUUUAAGCGAGGCGAAAUCGUAUAAAAGAUUAUAUGGUAUAAAUAUCUUGAGGUUAUUUACAUGAUGUCCCUUUCAAUUAAACUAUAUAAGCUUAUGGGCUAAUAAUAUUGAUAAAAAUCUUAUAAGUUAAUUACAUGAUAUGAAGUAUGUAAAAUUCAUGUAUAGAAUAAAAUUGUAACAAAAAUACUAAGAUAGAAAUAACGCACACAAAUAACUCAAUGAUAUGGUAUUAUGAUGUGGAAUCAUGAUGUGGUAUCAUGAGAUGAAAUUGAUAUUUUGUUUGGACAUGCGAUAUUAAAUUUUUGUGUUGUAUAUUUUCUCAUAAAUAUAAAAUCUCAUAAGUUGUAAAACUAUUAAAAUAGUCUCAAUUGUUUAUUCAAUCUUAUCAAAUAAACAAAAAAUUAUAAAAUUGCAUAAUAAAUUAUUACAAAUCUAUUUGUUCUCCAUUUAAGUAAUUGUUUCAUCUAACUUUAAUUUAAUAAAAAAAAUUGAACAUAAAUUGCAGUGUUCUAGUCUUUAAUAUAAUCCUCCCACAUAGUACAAACAAUUUUCUCACAUUGAACUUGCAUUUCUCGAUCAUGUGACCGAGAAGACGAACCAACAUUGUUACUUCGAGCCAUUUGUUGGUCAAUAUCACCCGCAACUAUAUUUUCAUGCUCAUAGACCAUAAAUAUUUCAUCAGUACUUUGGUAUUUUUGCAAAUAAUUAUGUAACACUGCACUAGCUAUGAUAAUUUUCACAUGUGUAUCAAUAUCAUAAUGGUUCAUGCCUUGUUUUAGUAUUCUAAAUCUAUUUUUUCAAGCUCCAAAAUUCCAUUCAAUCACACUGCGCAAAGAUGAAUGUCUAUAAUUAAACAGUUCUUUGACAUUUUGAAGCUCUCUUUCACUUCCUCGGUAAUCUUGCAAAUGAUAGCGUAGUCCUUUGUAUGGAGCUAAAAAUUAUUUUGUGUUUCGAAAACCAGCAUCAACAACAUAAUAUUUAUCUACCAACAAACAUUUUAGAAAGAAUAGUUACUAAAAACAUAUGUGACGUAAAUGAGACAACUUUGUGUAAAUAAAUAAUAUUUAUCCUAAAGAUGUAAUUUAAAGUUACCAUGUGGCGGAAAUGGAAAUUAUGACGUUGGUUCAACAAGUGCUCUUCAAGAUUUUAUGGUUGAGUAUAAAUAAGGAAAAUUCACGCAAUAUACACAUUUAAGAGUAAAUUUUACGGGUUUUAAACACACUUUUAAACAAUUCUUACUUAUAACAGUUUAUUUACGGGUUAUGACAUAUCAAUUAAAUUUAAAAAAUCAAUUUCAAUUUAUUUAAUAAAUGAUUAAUCUGUUUAUAUUUUUAUAUUAUUAAUUAAUAAUAUUUAAUUAAUUUGAUUUCAGUUCCUUUUUUAAAACUGAAAUUAUUAGUUACACCUAUUAAGGGAUUUACAUAUAUUAGACUUCCUUGUUUACUGUUACACUCCAAACCUCACAUACCUCAAUCCCACCACCCUCAAUCCACGCCUAUUCAAAUAUACACGUCAUCACCUCCACUACCUCACUUUCACCUUGUCUCUUCCAUUUUUCUCACUAGCCAACUACGCCAUUUUGACAAUCGUCCUCCCAAUUAAGUUUUUCAACAAAAUCAUGUCUAAGAAACCCAUUGAAACGCCUCGAAAGAGUUUCAGAUUGGUUGAAGGAACUUCUACAGAUGAAGUUCAUGCUACACUUGAUAUCAAGCAUAUGAUACAUGUUCCUCAACAAGAAGAUAGUUUCAAGUAUGUAUUUAUAUACUUUACUGCUUUCAUUAGAAAAGGUAACUUAAUUUAUUUCUUAAAAUGUUUUUUCUUGCAAUUUUUUUCAGUGAUUGUGAUUUGUAACAUGUCUAUUUGUUGAAUACAUCAGUAAUGAUGUUUUUGAUAUGCAUUCUGUUGAUAUCGAUGCAAAGUACCAUCGUCAAAGGUAUGCCACAAUCCUAUGACAUUAUGGAAAAAUAAAGAAUGAGGACCUCGCAUAGCAAAAGAAUAUGUUUCGGAUACCACUAAUUAUCCUACACCAAGACCACGGCCAAGAAAUUUGAGAUAGUUGAUUGCACCUUCUACUUUUUUAGAACUACAUGUUAUUUUUUUUAACUUUUGGAUAAUUUUUUUGUGUUUAAGUACUUGAUGAUAUAUAAUAUCAUAUGUUUCUUCCAGUCAGAUACCAUCUACAUAUGAAUUACUGAUUGACUAUUAUAAUUUCAGGAUACUAGUAAUAUACAGACUUCAUACCAGUUGGAUUCAAUUUUUUUAAAGUAUCAGUGUGUUUCCAAACUGUAUAUUUAUUGGAUGAAAUGCAUAUGAAAUCUGAUUAAUAUUUGUAUGACUAUGACUUUAAUAUUUUGAUUUUGGAUAUUGUAUGAGAUAUAAUAUUGGUAUACAAAUGGUAUGAAUUGUAUUUUAACAUUAGUGUGAUUGUCUAUUAACUGUGUAUAUGGUAUGAAUUUUUAAACUGGUAUACAAAUAGUAUGAAUUGUCAAAUUAGUGAUUUUUUCUAAAAAUAUCACAAUAUGCUUACUUUCUAUUCUAAACAUGUUUUUGGAUGAAACGUGCAUGAAAUCUGAUUAAUACUUGUAUGCCUCUGACUUUAAUGUUUGAUUGAUGAUAUAUAAUAUCAUAUGUUUUCUUCAGAUACCAUCUACAUAUGAAUUACUAAUUGUCAAUUAUAAUUUCAGGAUACUAGUAAUAUACAGACUUCAUACCAGUUGGAUUCACUGUUUUUAAAAUAUCAGUGUGUUUCCAAACUGUACAUUUAUUGAAUGAAAUGUGUAUGAAAUCUGAUUAAUAUUUGUAUGACUAUGACUUUAAUAUUUGAUUUGGAUAUUGUAUGAGAUAUAAUAUUUGGUAUACAAAUGGUAUGAAUUGUAUUUUAACAUUAGUGUGAUUGUCUAUUAACUGUGUAUAUGGUAUGAAUUAUUAAAUUGGUAUGAAUUGUCAAACUAGUAUUUUUUCUAAAAAUAUCACAUUAUGCUUAAUUUCUAUUCUAAACUUGUUUUUGGAUGAAACGUGUAUGAAAUCUGAUUAAUAAGUGUAUGCAUCCGACUUUAAUGUUUGAUUGUUGGAUAUUGUAUGAAUUGUGAUAUAAUAUUGUUAUACAAAUGGUAUGCAUUGUGUGAGUAUAUGAAAUUAUGAAUGUUUAUACGAAAUUGAUGAAUGUUUAUAUGAAAUUGAUUUAUUGUUGGUAUAAAUAUGUGUGAUAUAAAUUGAAGUUAGUGUUGGAAUGAAACUUGAACAAGAUUGGUAAAAAAAUUGUUUUAAUUUUAUUUAUAGUAGGACACCAGUUGAAAACCAAAUUAAUAUUCAUGAUAACUUACAUUAAAUACUCAGGAUACCAAAUGCACUCCAUAAUUACCUUGUAUAAUUAUCACUAUAUUAACACUAUCAUAUAUAUAUUAAGCUUGAAUAAAUUUAAUUUCCAGCAGUAUGAAAUUUAUAUGAUUAGUGAAUGAAACACGUAUAAAAAAUGAGCAGUAUAUUAAAUACUUAGUUAUAAUGCAUUUCACACCAAUUAUGUUUCAUAUCAAAACAAAACAUGAGUCAUAAUUAAAAUUUUAUACAGUCUAAACAAAUAAAUAAUCAUUUUUUUUGCACAGGAUAAUUUGAACAUGUCGUCCUGUUUUGGCCAACUUGACGACAUCUACUGCAAGUAACUCUAGACCGUUUGAAUUUCACAUCAGCAAACUCCUUCCAGCGUUCAAGUUGCGAUUUUCCUAUCGUUCUUUUUUGACCGGGAGACAUCAAUUUAGGCUUUGAAACAUAACUUGGUAUAUUCCAUGUACUCUUGCAUAGGAGAGUUUCAACCAUCUAUCAUAAGCUGUGAUGUUAUCGCACUUACUAGACCACUAUAAAGACUAGAAGAUUCAUAUAUAAUCCCUUCCAUAUGAAAAUCAACAUAUUUCCCUGUUUCAUUAAAAAAAAAACAAUUAGUCAUCCAAACAACAUACAAAUUUCAUCCACAAAAUUCAUUAUAAUAACAACAAAAUUAUACACACUUGUCAUUAUCUUUUCAUACAAAUAUCAUUCAAACAAUACUCUACAAAACAGAUUUAAAAAAAAAAAUAUUUCACAUUUCAUACACACUUAAUACAUAUUUCAUAUAAACAAUCAUCACUCAUACCAAAUUUAUACACAAUUGACAAAACUUAUAUAAACAAUAAAAUUUCAAUUUUAAUACCAACUUUAAAACCUUUUCAUACAUUUCUUCAAAAUUCUAAAUAACUUUUUUUAAACAUUACUGAACACACUUUCAUACCAAAUUCAUUCCAUUUAUACUACCAAAUUCAUUCGAAACUAUACAUUUAAUUUAUAUUUUCAGGAAAAAAAUAAGUAUUCAAUAUUAUAAUCUUAAUCUACGAACCCAAUCUACAACGAUAAACAUAUUUAUAUGCUAUACAUUUAUGUUCAAAUCAAUCAUAUAUUGCGCUAAUUUUUCACGAAAUCAACAUUUUAACAUUAUACAAAAUAACCAAAAAAAAAACAAACAAAAAACAAUACCAACACAGUCACUAAUAUUACAGUUUCACAACAAUUAAUACGUAUUAUGAACAAAAUGUUUUGUUUAUACAAAAAAACUAAAAAAUUAACUAUAGUGAUGAUUUACAAAAAGAAAAUCACAUAAUUUGAUUUACAGUUUCAUUGUUUUUUUUUUUUUUUUUCUGAAAUACAAAAACAAAUUAUAAACAAUAACAAAUACUAACCUGAAGGAUCCGAUCUUCCAUCAUGUUUAAUUAAUAUUGAUACGUAGUCGUCCAUCACAACAAAAUCAAGAUUUUUCAAACAAAAAAAAAUUCAAUUAGUCGACAAUGACAAGAUUUCUGGAAGAAAAUUGAAGAGAGAGAAACGUGGGAGAAAAAUAGAUAAAAGCAAAAUUUUUAAUUAAAUUUAACAAAUUAGAGUGAAUUAAGGAAACUGAAUAUUCUUAAUUAGUUUGAAUUUCCUUAAUUCAUAGCUAAUUUAAUAAUUAUCUUCAAUCAUUUCAAAUCUAAUUAACACCCCUAUUUUCAUUUUUUACCUUUUUUUAUUCCAGAAACAUUUUAUUUUAGAUUAUUUUUUUUCCAAAACAAAUGUUUUCAAUUAUUAAAAACUUCUUUUUUUUAAUAAACUGUUAGAACCUGGAAUUUUUAAUGUUACAACUUGAAAGUUUAAUUCUACUAAUAUAACUUGAAAAUAUUAGUCUAAUAUAUGUCAUAUAUUAAAUUUUUCACUAUAAAUAAUUAUGCAUUUAAGCCUAUCCAACCUAACUUUCAUAUCAAUUUAUUAGAGUAAAUGAAGAGAAGACCUUUCACUCCAUGUUCAAAUAGAUAUAACUAUAGUUGUAAUAAAUACAAAAUGGUAGAAGUAAUAAAUUAAGUGUUGGAGUAAAUGAACAGAAUCGGUUGGUGUGAGUUAAAGUAACCAUAUGUUGAUGAGAUUAAUAAAUUUUAUGUCGGUGAAAAUAAUAAAUUUUAAAAAGUAAUGAUGUGAUUAUAAAUUUUAUUUACAUAUGAAAUAAAUGGUUAGUAGAUAUAAAUGUGGGGUUGUUUUAACAAAAUAUAAACUCGUGGAUUAAUUUUUGUAUUAAAAUAUUUCAAAUCAUGAUAUGAAAUUCCCAUAUAAUCCAUAUCAUGGUUUUUGAAGAAUAUAAAAUCACAUCUCAUAAUAUGGAAUCAUGAGAUGAAAUCAGCGUAAAAUCGCAUAUUCAAACGCUGAUUCUAUCUCACGAUACUAUAUCGUGAUUUGGUAUCGCAUGACCAAACGCCUACUAAGUUUGUACGGGUGAGGUGGAGUGGGGGAUACAACCUUUCUCUCACAAUUGUAUCUGAACUAUCCACCUCUUCCUUCCCCUCACUUGGCCCAAUGAGAUUAGAUUCUUUAUGACGCUAAUCAAUUAUUUAAUUAGAUUAGUACCGGUAUUCAAAUUUAAUUUAAAACCUAUUUGAAACAAUUAUUAAAUGUUAUGAACCUAUGUGGAGUUAUAAUUUUUCUAAAGGGCAUGUUUAUUUAAUUUCAAACACUUAAGGGCCCUUUUUCAGUAAAAUUAUGUUGUAUAAUAGAGUAUGGAACAAGUUGAGUAAAAGGACAAAAACUAAACGGACAAUAUUUUUAACCAGACUCUUAACCAGGGUUGCAUAGGAGUUAGGAAUAGACCGCCGUGCACGAUUAGUUUAACCGGCCCUAGGGUAAAACCUAGGCUCCUAAUCCAGCCUAUAAAUGAAGGCAAUUUCUUCGUAAUUUUUCCUCAGCUCUUCCUUCACUUUCUCUUCAGGGUUUCUCUAGUAGUCUCUCUGAAAAAAAAUGGCCGACGUUGAAUACAGGUGCUUCGUCGGUGGUCUGGCAUGGGCCACCACCGACCAAACACUUUCGGAUGCUUUUUCUCAGUACGGCGAAGUGGUCGAAUCCAAGGUCUGUUGCAGGGCAGAGAUCGGAUCCGAGCCUUUGGCUUCGAUGACCCUCUGUUACUGAAUUGUGAUCUGUUACUAUUCUCUGGUUUACUUGACUGUUACUGUUACUGUUACUCUAUGUUACUGUUACUAUUUGUUACUAUUAUUCCAAUUCCCCGAAACGGUACGUUCCGUCUUCCUCUGUUUAUACACGAGAUGAAGAUAGAUCGCUUUUGUGUUUCUCCCCCUCAUGUUUUUUUGUUCAGAUCUGCUUUGUUUUGGUUGUUAUUUUGUAGAUCUGUUUGGAUCUGACGUAAUUGUUAUGGUUUUUAUUUCUAUUUUUCAGAUCAUCAAUGACCGGGAAACUGGUAGAUCUAGAGGAUUUGGAUUCGUUACCUUCAAGGAUGAGCAAGCCAUGAGGGAUGCUAUUGAAGGGAUGAACGGCCAAGAUCUUGAUGGUCGCAACAUCACCGUGAACGAAGCUCAAUCCCGCGGAGGCGGUGGAGGUGGAAGAGGCGGUGGUGGCUNNNNNNNNNNNNNNNNNNNNNNNNNNNNNNNNNNNNNNNNNNNNNNNNNNNNNNNNNNNNNNNNNNNNNNNNNNNNNNNNNNNNNNNNNNNNNNNNNNNNNNNNNNNNNNNNNNNNNNNNNNNNNNNNNNNNNNNNNNNNNNNNNNNNNNNNNNNNNNNNNNNNNNNNNNNNNNNNNNNNNNNNNNNNNNNNNNNNNNNNNNNNNNNNNNNNNNNNNNNNNNNNNNNNNNNNNNNNNNNNNNNNNNNNNNNNNNNNNNNNNNNNNNNNNNNNNNNNNNNNNNNNNNNNNNNNNNNNNNNNNNNNNNNNNNNNNNNNNNNNNNNNNNNNNNNNNNNNNNNNNNNNNNNNNNNNNNNNNNNNNNNNNNNNNNNNNNNNNNNUGGCGGUGGAGGUGGAGGAGGCGGUGGUGGCUACGGAGGUGGCCGACGUGAAGGCGGUGGUGGCGGCUACGGUGGCGGCGGCGGCUACGGAGGUGGCAGACGUGAAGGUGGUGGCGGCGGCGGCUACAGUGGAGGUGGUGGCGGCUAC
This 64934-nucleotide long non-coding RNA is filed under the name Solanum tuberosum (potato). RNAcentral describes it as "long non-coding RNA (STUB_LNC002454)". The stretch from base 24484 to 24555 matches the Rfam family "tRNA". Lineage: Eukaryota; Viridiplantae; Streptophyta; Magnoliopsida; Solanales; Solanaceae. The record is from RNAcentral.